Molecule: long non-coding RNA, 58871 nt
Filed under: Fragaria vesca (wild strawberry)
Lineage: Eukaryota; Viridiplantae; Streptophyta; Magnoliopsida; Rosales; Rosaceae
Description: long non-coding RNA (FVES_LNC002120)
Source: RNAcentral
UUUUUUUUUUUUUUGUUUUAGCUUAGCCUUGGGUUAGAGAUAGAAUUUAUGACUUUUGGGGGCUAUAUCCACCCCUUAGCCCAGGGUUGGAGAUGGUCUUACUUUUUAACUACAAGACCUCCCCAUAACAAAGCUUAGCCAUGAAGGCAUGAAUGAUACAAACCUAUUGAAUGCACUCGACUAUAAAAAAUGAUGCUCUUAGAGCAUCUCCAAUAGCUUUCUCAUUUUCUUGAAUUUCUCAAUUUUAGGAAAUAUAAAGCUGUUUUUAGGUCCAACAGUUUUCUCAUCUCAUUCCCCAAAAUGGAGAUGGAGAAGAAAGAGAAGCCUUCAUUCCCUAAAUUUACAGCAAAGCCUUCCUUCCUCAAAAUUUAAUUCUUCACGUGCUCCAACGAAUUCAAAACAACAAUAGAAUAUUUGGUUGGGUAUUUUAUUGUUACAAUGAAAUAUAUAAUGGUCUUUUGUUAUAAUUAAUAAUGAUAUAGUAUAUUUUAUUGUUGUAUUAAAUGUCGAAAUAUCCAAAAUGGAGAAGCUGUUGGAUUUUGAGCAUAAUUUUUUUAGAGAUUUUAGCUUUUGCUUCCCCAUUUUAGAAAAUUUUUUAGGAAACUGUUGGAGAUGCUCUUAUAGAAAGGAAACAAAGAGUAAAAGUUGAUACCUGAAUCAACAACGGUGGACUUCACAGUUGCUUUUGUUUUACAUAUGUGUUGAAUGGGAGCGGAUUCUACGCACCAACGUGUAUUUGCACCAUUAAUGUAUAAGUGCUUAAAUCGUCGUAUGAGAAGAUCAAAUGAAGACUAUAGACUCUAAAUUCCUUACUUUCAUUUUCAUUUUUGAUCCGAUCAAAUUAAACGCCCAUAAUAAGAGUACGUCUUGUUCGAUCUAAUGUUCUCACUUCCUUAGUUGGAAACAGUUUGGACUAUUUUUUUUUGUUUCAAUUUGGUUAAUAGUAUUAGUAUAUAUGCAAAUAGUGCGACGUAGAUGACUGAGUCAAAAUACUGUAUAUUACUUGCUUGGUUCACUUGCACCUUGGUGCAUGGAAGAAUUUUCGGUGUUGAAUAUACCAGCUUGUUACUUUGUGUUGAUACUGAGCGAGAUUAUAACGUGGAGAAAUGUGAAAGAAGGGGUCUGAUAAGUUUCCCGAUAAAUACAUGGAAAUAUCAAAGGUUGGGCAAUUGGUGACUGGUGAGGCUACUAGGAAAUUGAAGGGAAAUUUUACGAAUGAAUUUAAUUUAUUUCGAAGUUACACACAGCAUUUGUAUUCAUAGUUGACGCCCGGCCUGCUUGAGUUACAUUGUUUGACCAAAUUAUACUAGUUUGUCGGGUUGAUACUUCAUAGCCUAAUGACGUAGAUGAAUAAUCGAUAAUGAAAAUGUAUCGAAAUAGCAAAGCUUAGCUCAAAACAUAUACAUAUAUACUAUUACAUCCGGUUUUGUAUUGGUACAUUGAUAUACGACUAUCAAAGACACCUACACGAAUUCAUAUGAAGGUAUGAAACUUUAUUUCAAAACAUAACAUUAAAUUAACAUUUAAAAGGUACAAAUGAUAAAAAAAAAAUCUUUAAUUGUUUCACAUGUCAUUUCUAAAAGUAAGGCAUAUAACACUAAAGUAACAUUUAAAAGUACAAAUGAUAAAAAAAUCUUCAAUUGUUCCAUGUGAUAAAAAUGUCACUUUUAAAGUAUCUUACAUGAUAAGAUGACCACCUCAGAAAAUAUCAAACGAUAAAGUGAUCACUCUAGAUGAUAAAACGGUUCAUUUAGCCAAUUUUCACAUAACCAGUCUACCUUGCCGUCAAUAAUACUUUUUUUUCUCUUUCACUUUCAAAAACGCAUCACCUCUCUCCUUAUUCACAGACGAUCUAUAUAUACACUAUAAGAAGCAGUAGAGUAUGAUUGCAUGUCAUGUUGACAGCUUAAUUUAGAGCAACUUGUGAAGAAAUGGCACAAUCUGGAAAUGAAUUAUAGCUAAAACUGAGUUAGGAAGAACCGAGACAUGCCACGGAAACUUGUUGAUUAAAAAAACAUUGAGUGUUGGAAUAUGCACAUUCCUGAGGAUGAUCUGCACAUGAAGCUUGGUAUUACCCUGUCGACAUGCAUAUGAAUAAAACUUGCAGUUUACGUGCAUCUUAGUCAAUAUCUUAUCAUUUACUCUUAAAAUAAGAUUCGGCUACAUGUAUAAUGUAGAUGAAGAGGUUUGUUCAAACAUAGUAAACACGCUACUCAUGAAAACAGACAAAGUAAAAGGUAGGAAACAUCUAAGAGAUAGCAUAACAGAAGUACAAUUUAUUUAGCUGAAUGCACACCAUCCAGACAGGAAACAGAAUCUUGGCAUGGAAAACUUGUGGUGGGCGGUGGCAUCUUGUUCUCAGGUGGUUUAGAAAUGAUUGUAGACUCUGAAAGAAUCUUGGAGGGGCAAGUUCUAGGCCAGUGGUCACAUACCUUGCCACAUAAAUAACAAAACAUGGGAACAGGUUGCUUGCUGCCUCCUUCACUCAUCUCACCAUUGGCACCCAUACUGUAGAAAUAAGAACCCAUAACCCACCCUGGUUUCAAACCAUCGGGGCCUGGUCGGCGUGCCUUCUCACCUGUUAAAUACAUUAUUAUUAUUAUGUAACUUGAAUAAAUCGGUGCUAGUGACAAAACCUAAAUCAAAGAAUUGAUUGAGCAUGAUUUGGAAUUCUUUCUGUUAUCGUAUACAUAUAGAUGAAUGCAUGCACAAAGCAAACUACAAAACCCCUAAAACAGUAAUCAAUUUUUCCAGGAGAUCGUGGGUAAACAUAUAUCUUAAGCCUCGUCAAUGUUCUAAUCAAGAAAAAUAUAAAUCGAGUUAAGAUCAUACCGUCUUCUUCUGCCCAUUUGCGACUGAGCUCGUCAAAAAGUUCGCAAGUAAACCUUCCCCUACUGUCCUGAGUUUCCUCCAUGCCUGCCAUGGCGGAGAGAGAUUGUAUUCGUUAAGAGAUCAGGAUUGAUUGAUUUUAGACUUAUAUUAUACGCUGAGGUUCUCAUAUUUAUACUCCUCUAGGUUUUGUAAAAAUUAAUUUCCGAUUUUAGCCCUUCUACAGAUUUUAUAAAAAAAAACCUAGUCCCCCACGAACAAGUUAUAUCAAGACCACCGAUUCUAAGUGUAUUAUUUCAAUCUUCUAUGUUCGUUCGUUCUAUAUGGGCCAUAGAGAUAAGUGUCAUAUAUAGGGCGUCAAUGAAUAGGGUAUGGGUUUUAUUUCGAAGAUCGCAAUGAGCCGGCUCACGGUUUGGGCCGGUUUGUCAUCUAAGUAUUUUGAAUUGUGGAUCCAUAUGAUUGCAAGCUUGAUGGUUUUCCCAGAAUUUGCAAACUUCACAUUUUGUUAGAUUAUCAGUUUGGAGUUGGGUAGGCAAAUUUGUAACUUACAGUUUCCAUAUAAAUUAUUGACAUUAAACUGGCACUGCAUAUUUCCACCCAACAUGACACAAUGCAAGUCGAUCACUUCUUGUUUAUGCAGUAAAUUCACAUAACAAAUUCUAUAUAACAGUAUGAUUCAUGGCUCAAUAUCAAAUGGAAAGAAAAGAAGGGGGCUAAAACAAAAGACGAAGGAGAAGCACCCUACUUAAGUAAUCAAAAUCUAAGGUGCCACCUUUUUAUCUAGAUGACGGAUUUAGCUCCAAACAAGUUCGUAUGAUGGAAAUACAAAACUUUUGGCACGCUCGACGCAAGUGAUUAUUUCAUACAACUACUUAUGCAUUGAAUCUAACAGUUUGAGAGCCAAAGCUUGCUGAUGCUCUAUAUAACUUGAGUCAGCAACAAACCCAGCUUUAUCCUUCUUCUCUUCUCUCUCACCAUCAUCAUCACUAUCAAAGUAUAUCUUUGACCUUUUGUGCGAUCGCUUAUCAGAUGGCUCUUCUUCUGACUCAGAUUCAUCGUCGUCCUCUUCUUCUGCAUUUGCUCUCUUCAGCUUCAUCUUCUCCUUCAUUCUUUUUUCACGACGACGCUGGCGGUCUUUUUCCUUGUCUUGCUUGUCUGUCUUCUUCACCUCUUCCCUAAGCCUCUUAUGAAAUUCUUCUUUCUUGUCUGCAGCAAAAAUAAUGUAUAUAUCAGGACACUAAUCCAAGCAGCUGCAAACACAUUCCAGUUCAUGCACAACAUGUGGGAUCAAGUCAUCAUAUUCAAGCGAUUAAAACUUGUUCUAUAUUUAUUCUACCUGAGCCAAUGAUAGAGGGAAGCCUCACAGUUAUAUAGAAGCUCAGACACUCAAUUGUAGUGGAGUCAACCAAUUAUUUCAGCUCACAUUCGGAUUUCAUUUUUUUCAAAAUUCAGGAAUCGAUACAUACCUUGAAGUCCAUCAAGAAUGCUGGGAUCACUGGGAGCAGCCAACCUUGCAAGUGGGUCCACCAAAUUGCCGUUCUCAUCAAAGACCCCCCUAGUUCCCGUAGGUUUAUCCAAGUUGAUCUUCAACUUCUUUUUCUUCGAAACCCGAGUUGCCGGCCUACAGGGAAAAAUGAGCACAGAAUAAAAGAGUGAAUUAAACGAGUGACCGAAGCAUUCAUUGAUAAUGCAUCCAUAACUACAACUUCUGGAUAUGCACAAAAAAAAAUAUAAUAAAUAAAUAAAUAAAACUUCUGGAUGAAACUAUUUGCGUGGGUAAUAAUCAGCAUUUGCGUCUGUUACUAAACUUGUCCUAACUACAUCUGGAUGAAAAUAUUUGCGCUGGUAAGAAUCAGUAAUUGCAUCUAUUACCAAAAGUCUAAACUUGUCCAACCUAUAUGUGAAUAUGUGGUUCUUGAUGACUAAAAUUAAUAAAUAAAAAAAGAAAUAAGAGAAGUACAUUAGACAAGCAACUUACAUAAUAUCUGCAAUCUGUCUUCUUUCCCCCUCUCUCUCAGUUGGUAUAUCAUUUAUUCGAAGAAGACCUUCCUCCACUUCCUCUUCGUCCCCAUCACCAAUAUCAAGCUCCUCUCUAGGAGUCUCUAAUGCAUUCUCCAUCUCAGAACUUUCUGGUUCAACAAUGGGAGACAGUUCCAAAGGUUUCUUGGAUUUCAUUUUAUGGUUUGAAAAACGGAUCUUGGGGGUCAUUGGUAAACCCAUUGAUGCGGAAAACUCAUCAACUGGCAGUUGCAUCACGUCAAAAACUUCUUUGUCCUUGUGGUUUUGAAUAGACUUUAAAUACGUGAUAAAAGCCCUUUUGGCCAGACCUGGAAGUGUGUCAGGGUACUUGACUAGCAAAGCUGACAGCAACCCACUUACAGGUUGCAGUCUCUUGUUGUUAGCCUGGGAGAGCAGCAUAACAGCAAUUUUAGCAUGGUGAAAUAUAUAAUAAACAAAGUUCUUGCAAACCACUUCCUCUGCCAGAAGAAGAAGAAAAUAAAGUUUACCUUGAUGCAAUCUAUGGGUAUUUUUGCGGCAUCUAACUUCUCAAGCAUUUUUGUUUCUGAGGGCAUCACAAAUAAAAGUGAUCGCCCUUCGGAUUGAUAGCGUGCAGUUCGGCCAACUCUGUGUAUAUAGGAUGCAACAUCUUCUGGACAAUCCACCUGCAAAUGGGGAGAUGAAAAUAUAAAGAACUGAUUAUAAAACAAAAACAAGGAACCAAGUUUUUUCAUCACAUUCUACACCAUUGUAACAAAAAUCUUGGAGCAAACAACUCACCUGAACAACCCAAUCAACUGCCUGGUUGAAAUCAAGGCCUCUCGAAGCUACAUCAGUCGAGAAAAGAACUGUAGCUUUUUCAUGAAACUGCGAGUAUGUGCCCAUUCUUCCCUCUUGCUUCAUCUUACCAUGAAGACACUUCAGGGGUAUUCCAGGUCGGAGCUUCUUAAAUGCUUCAUAGACAAAUUUUACCUAUUAAAGUAGCAAUUUAACCUAAUCAGCAAAGAUAAAAUUUAUAUCAUAUAAAAGAAGACUUAUUUAUAUCAACAACCAGAGGAAUGAUAAAUGAUAUAAAUGAAGGUUAAAUCUAAAGUCCACUGGAACUAGACUGCUGUUCCACAUAAAGGAAAAGGGUAAGCCUCUAAAAACAAGAUCAACUCUUGCAUAUGAUAAGAUGACAUUUUCUGGCAUGACAUAAUUGUGUGUCAGUAGAAUUAGAAACACAACGGCACCUGUUUACGUGUCGAUAAGAACACUAGAAUCCUAGAAUUCAGAUGUGCCUUUAUGAAGCUCCACAGCAUAUCUAAUUUUUUAUCAAGAGGAACAAUCAUUGCAGUUUGCUUCAAACGAUUUGGAGUGGCUCUUGUAGCCUUCUCGUGCACACUAAGGUAUUCUGGGUCCUUCAAACUAAGUCUUGCGAGAUCUUGAACUGACUUUGUUUGAGUUGCAGAGAAGAGAAAGGUUUGUCUUCUCUUAGGUAGCUGUGAAAUGAUGGCGUUCAAUGCCUUCUUAAAUCCCACGUCAAGAAUACGAUCUGCCUCAUCAAGAACCAAAACCUGUUCCCUGACCAGGAAAGUCCACCCAAGUCAGCAGAAAAUAUAUAUGUAUACAGGACUGACUAUGGGUAUAUAAGUAAAAUGAACUAUGGACCACAAAAAGUAAUAGAAUCUGAUGCAAUCAGAAGACUAAUAGAAUCAGAACUAAAUCUGAUAACUACGUCAUCAAACUGAUGCAAAAGAAGCAGCAACAGUAGAUUUGAAAUCAUAUUUCCAACUAUAUUAAGACAACACUAAUGUUUAAACAGAUAUCGGCAACUUUUUUCAUCUACUGCUGCCACAUAAAUACCAUUCCCCCCACCACCACCCCUUCUCAAAAGCAAACAAGAAAGAAAAAGUAGACCUGUAGCUGUGAACACUCAAAAUUUGGCGUCUCGUCCAUGUGUUGUAGAAGUCGUCCAGGAGUGCAAACCAGUAUGUUCAAUUCAUUUACGCGCUCCUUCUCCGCUUCAACAUCUUUCCGACCACCAAUUAGGAGGCCAGCACUAAAAUUAUGGUGCUUUCCAACUGCUCUUAACACAUCAAACGUCUGACUAGCUAGUUCUCUUGUCGGAGAUAUAAUAAUGCUGCCUACCCCAUCCUCAGGAUUCCAUCUCUCUUUAUACAAUUUUUCCAAGAGCUGAAAUCAACAAUGUACAAGAGGUGAAUAAAAAUGUCUUUUCUAAAUCUAUCCAAAUCAACACCAAAUGAAAGUAAAGCAUAUAGUUGAAAGAAAAUGCACAGACCGAUAUGCAAUAUAUCAAAUAUCAAUACUUUAGAAAUCUUAAGCCAGAACUUGGCACAAAGCAAAUGUUCCAAAACUCAAUUAACUGAACCAAAUACUAGCCAUUGACACUAUUCUUCACCUCUCACAAAACGAAGCAUCACACAACUCAUAGCAACUAUCCAAAAUCUAAGCAAAUAAUUUGACUCUGAGCAACAAUCACACAACUCAAUCAACUAGAACAAACACAAGCUCUACCUAAGACCCUCCAAACUUAACAGUAACUCAUCCACUUCCUCACAUUUCUCAUCAACCAAUGCCACCCAAAUCCAUCAUCUCUCACAAAAACCAAUCAUAAAUAUAAAAACCCAAUCUUUCACAGCUCAAAUUCUAAACCAAAAGCAAACUCAAAAUUCCAACAACCACCCAGAUACAAACUCCAUCUCAUAAACCAAACCCACAUACCGGAAUCACAAAAGCCAGAGUCUUGCCGGAGCCGGUCUUGGCGGCGCCCAGAAUGUCCCUUCCGCAGAGCGCGUGUGGCAAACACGCGCGCUGGAUAUCGGUCAUGUCGGUGUACCUGGACUGCCGCAAGGCGUCCUUGGUCUUCUUGGAGACGGGGAGCUCGGCGAACCUGGUGGCGCCGGCGUAGCGGGAGAAGGACGUGGGGUCCACGCACCCGAUGGGGGCGUUGGAGGGGAGAGGCGGGAGGGACAUUGGGUUGGAGCCGCAGUCGGGUUUCUGGGAUUCGAUCCAUGAAUUGAGGAGCUUGAUUUCUUCGACCUCUGAUAGCAGCUUUUGCUUCCGCGUUGUUUUCGAUAUGGGUUUUCUCAUUGCUGCUCUCUCUGCGACGACGACGUUAGGUUUUUGGGGUUUUAAACUGAUGAGGGUUUAAGCCUUUACGGCUUUACGUGAAAAUGUAAAAGUUAACUUAAACAAAACAAAAAGGGUAAAUUUUCUCUUGUUUUUACUUUUUAUUUUUUUAUCAGUUAAAUAACCCCGGAUACUAAAACGAGAGUCUGGUGUGAGUAAUCAUAUUGCACUCAUUCGUCUAUUUUAUUAUGAUCAUGGCUUCAUCUAUAAUCAUUCUCAAAAAAUACUACCAAGUCGUAACGCAUACCAUAUUUUAACCAGUAACUAGUUAGUCUCAUUUAUGAUUAUUUUUUAAAAAAUAUGUGUGAAUGACAAAAUAGAGUGUGUAAAUUACAUCACAUUUUUUUAUUAUUCUCAACCUCGUCAGAUGAAUCAUUGCACUCAUUCAUCUAUUUGUUAUGAUCAUUUUUCUUUAACUCAUGGUAAUUGUAUAAAAAACUUACGAUUUGCAAGUUAACUAAUUUAGCCAUCGAUCAAUUCUCAUUGAUUUUACAAUUCUAUUCAUUGAUUUGCAAGCAACUUGCGAUUUGAGACUCCAAUAAUGUAGUUGUCUAUGUAGAAAUAUUGUCGUUCUCAUUUAACACAAAUAACAUAAAAAGGGGAACGGUGAGGCCAUGAGGGAGCCUUUACCUUCCCGCUUAUCAUCAACAAGGACCAAACUUUACACCAAAAAUACUACGUAAGAGGGAUAGGAUAACACAAAAUGGCAGAAAAUGAGAAAGUUGCUCGGUAUCAUAACAAUGAUUAAACACAUUCAACUAGCAAAUUCAGCUUAGGAAGUUCUGGACAUGUACAUUUCCCUCCGUUUUGUCACACUUUUCUGCUGUAAAAUGGUUGCCGGACCCAGACAAUGGUCUCGAGUUCCUUUCCAGCAAGUUUGACAUUGUUCUCCAAAAACAGCUGCGAAAAUUCAGGUUCUAUCUUUUCAGGCCAAUAAAUCCUCUCCCGCCUCCUGAGCAACCUCCUGCUAAGUUGUGCAACUGUAGAUAUUUUGUUGCGGAGUUCUUGUUCACUAAGAACAAUACAGAAAAAUGAACAACCAUUGAGGCACCAAGCAAAGAAGGUUAAUCAAAAGGUUGCAGUAUCGGAAAUCAAACUGACCUCCCAUCUAAUGCCGCAUAAAGUUGCAUUAAAUCAUCAAGCAUUGUCAUCACUUCUCCAGAUAAUAUUUGUUCAAAUGCGUUCGGACAGCGUGCAGACCACACAGAAGUUAAAAGGAAAACAAAUUUUUCCAACUCCAACUGAAAUGCCAUCAAGUAAUGAGGAAUAUAAUCUACUACAACUGCUGCUCAUAAUGUGAACCAAAAUAACAAAAAAUCAAUGAUGAAUACUUACCUUUUUUGUUGAGGCAUCUGAAAAUAAACUCCUCUGAUAAACUCUUUUUUCACCAAGCCUUCCAAUAUAUCCCACAAGUGAUCAAAAUUCUUAGGGAGGUUCCCGCUGUAUUUCACCUCAUCUGCUUCCAGACCUGAGUUGGGUUGAAGAAGCUUAGAACUUUUGAUCUCAGCCUCAUCCGAAUCAAAAGCAGAAGGCCCAGCACAAUCAUUAGCAUUAGCUUCUACCAAAAACGGCUACAUAUUGAGAGGAUGAACAUGGAACAUGAAUAUGNNNNNNNNNNNNNNNNNNNNNNNNNNNNNNNNNNNNNNNNNNNNNNNNNNNNNNNNNNNNNNNNNNNNNNNNNNNNNNNNNNNNNNNNNNNNNNNNNNNNNNNNNNNNNNNNNNNNNNNNNNNNNNNNNNNNNNNNNNNNNNNNNNNNNNNNNNNNNNNNNNNNNNNNNNNNNNNNNNNNNNNNNNNNNNNNNNNNNNNNNNNNNNNNNNNNNNNNNNNNNNNNNNNNNNNNNNNNNNNNNNNNNNNNNNNNNNNNNNNNNNNNNNNNNNNNNNNNNNNNNNNNNNNNNNNNNNNNNNNNNNNNNNNNNNNNNNNNNNNNNNNNNNNNNNNNNNNNNNNNNNNNNNNNNNNNNNNNNNNNNNNNNNNNNNNNNNNNNNNNNNNNNNNNNNNNNNNNNNNNNNNNNNNNNNNNNNNNNNNNNNNNNNNNNNNNNNNNNNNNNNNNNNNNNNNNNNNNNNNNNNNNNNNNNNNNNNNNNNNNNNNNNNNNNNNNNNNNNNNNNNNNNNNNNNNNNNNNNNNNNNNNNGGAAGCAAGAUACCAACAUCAAAAGGCGUUCCGUAAGAUACAAGAAACCAUUAGGCGAAAUAUAGUCAAAAACAGUCCUCCAGUUUGUAUGAUAGGUUUCAACCAAAGCUUGAUGCAACUGCCUGACAAGGUUACACCUUGUUUCUCGAGUAUUAAUCACAUGUACAGACCCCUUCUUUACUCCAAUGAUACUCCCACACAUAUUCAGAAUGAACAACUCCCAUGGGCGACUACAUUUCAAAUCUUUCACGAGCUUCUCAUGUAGUUCAGAAUCAACACUACCGGACCCCAGAAUAAUCAUUGCUAGCCUUCCAACUUGCCCAUAGGAAAGCUCAAUAGUUGAGCUGGUAUAAUCAACAACGAGUUGUUUGAGAAGUUUUUUAAAAGCAUCACUUUGUCUAAGAAGAAUCAUAUUCCCUCUCAGAGUUUUUCUCCAAUCAAAAGGAAAUAUGCAAGCAACAAUACUUUCAGCUGACAGAUCAACAAAUUUCCUUAGAUUAGACGAGUAGUAUUAUCCUCGCUCUGAUCUAUUGGGAAUACUUCAGUGGCUAUCUUGGGCCAACGACCCAAUAAUAGAUGGAAAUAACAGCCCAGCCCAAACCGGACCGACUGCGAUCUCCGAAAUAAAAGGGGAAUAAGAAACUUAAUCUACCAUUCCCUUUCGUUAUCUAUCUUUCACGCUCUCAUAGAAAUCUCGGACCCUAAGAAGAAAAAAUUAUGGCUACCGCAACCGAAACGAGCUCCCAGCAAGAUGUGAAAAAACUGACCUUCUCCUUUGAGCAUCUCGGCGCCUCUUCUCCCGGUAUGAAUUUCUUCGUUCAAUUUUUCUCGUAUGUUUUGGGAUGCGAAUUGUCUCUUAUCUGUUACUUUCGAAUUUAGAUCUGAAAGUUGUUGUCUCUUAUCUCUACUAUGUGCUCUAUUGCUUUUAUUACAAUCUGGUGUUUGUGUAAUUGGCUUUUACAAACCCCUAUGCUCGGAGUUGUUGCCGGAAUUUAUGUAAUUUUUGGUAAAGCUAGAGUCAAACGUGAUAUCCCAGGACUUGUUUAAUGGGUAUAAUGUUGCAUAAAGUUAUACAAUCAUUUAAGAUUCUGAUUUUCUUAUCUUUUAUGGGUAUCUAACAAUGGAACUUAAACAAACAGGUUCCUAUACCCCCGUCCCAUUAAGGUCGGAGGUGGUGCCUUACAAUGAGGAUUCUAAGGUGGACCGCAAACAAACUGCCGCCUAUGUUCCAAUGGGGGGUGAAGAUGAUUUUUACAUAGACAUGUCCCAGUUCGCAUUGUCUCGCAUUAAUGAGGGUUCUAAGGUGAACUGCAAACGAACAGCCACCGAUAUACCUGAUGUCUUGGGGUCUGCGAUCAGACGAUCAGUCUUGGGGCCUGUGAUCAGAGGACCAGUGUCGGGCGAAGGUGCUUAUAAACACAAAAGACCGUGUGUGCCUUGUAAUGAGUGUUCUAAGGAGCACCCCUCUUUUCCUUCUUGCCCUUAUGUGCUUUGUGAUCUUUGUCAUGACCGUCACUACCCUAUUUAUUGCCCUAGCGUGCCUUGUCAAGUUUGUUAUCAGGAUCUUCACCUUACUCCUUAUUGCCCUUACUUUCACCUUAUCCCACAGGGUGCAGCUUUUGACCGUGACAACUAUGAAGUAGUUUGUUGCUGUGGUAAUGAAUUUAAUGAGGAAAAGUGGGUUUGUACCUAUUGUACUGGGAGAAAUGCACUGCUGAAGCGUAAGUAUUGUUCCAUUUGUGAUAGUAGCUGGAAACAGCACAGCACCCAUGAAUGCCCCAAGGACAAGGUCCUUGCUACCGAGUCUAAGUCGAUUAGGGACCCAUUAUCUUUGUCAGGGCGAACAUGAUUCCAUAUGAUGUGGUCUGUUCUCUAAGAGCCCCAUGAGGAACUGUUUCAACACCUUCUGUGUUUGUGGACACAUGCAUGAAAGAUGGCAAGUUUACUGUGUUUAUGAAAUAAGCUAACGAUUAGUUUUUGUUUUUUCUGGAAAAUAGACCGGUUGCACCAGAGAGGAUUUGGUUAAUGUAAGGUUAAUGCUACUGUAAUUAAAGGCACCUCUAACAGUAUCUGAAAUUUGCUAUUUACUAUGUUCUGUAGGAUUUGUUUGUUUUUUUUUCUUUUCUCUUUUUGAUCCUUUGAAUUUUGGUUUUCUUGUCGCGCAGAAACUCUAGGAUUUGUUAAUACCUCUAUUCUGCAUCAAACAUUCAAUGAAACAAGAUUUGGUAGUGGCAACAUAACCUUGGAAGCAAGGUACAAACAUUAGAAGGUGUUUAAUAAGCUAUAAGAAACAGGCCUCCGGUCUGCAUGAUAGUUUUCAACCAAAGCUUGAUGCAACUGCCUGGCAUGAAACGCCUCCCUUGUUUCUCGAGCAUGUACAUACCCCCUUCUGUUCUCCGAUGAUACUCCCACACAUAUUCAGGAUGCACAGCUACAUUUCAAUUUUUUCUCGAGCUUCCAACUUGCCCAUUGGACAGCUUGAUUGUUGAGCUGGUAUAUUGAACGACGAGAAGCAACAUUUUGUCUAAGAAGAAUCAUGUUCAUACAUGAUACAUCUUUGCUGCGACACAAAUCUGGUUAAGAGUCCAGGUCUGGAAGGAAACUGAAUCGGAAUUCUUGAUAAUGAACUGGUAGAGUUCUUCAAGCUUGUUCAAAACAUUAUUGCUAAUAGGGAUUAGUUUGCAACUCCAAAAACUCCGAACAGCCAAAAGAAUUUGGAAAUAGUGUGGUGACCAAUUCUCCAUUCUUCAGAAUAUAUCUCUUAUCUAGGUCUAUACCUCUAACCCAAGAAGCAUCAAACACGAGUGAAAUAUAGACCGGUUUCAGAUGAAAAUCCCUCCAUUCUCCCAGGUAAUGCAGAAAGAGAUCUCCAUAGCUUCCUUUUUUGUUAACAUCUUGGGCUUCCUGAUGUUCAAAAUAUUUGACCUCUAUCUAUGGAGCCAGACUCUCCCGUCCGACAGCGUCUAUAGACACGCCGCCGUCAGAUGGAGGCUACAUGUUUUUGAAACCCCUAGCACAGCGGCAGAGAGUAACAGAAAAAUUAACUAUGCGAUGUACUUGAUCGAAUAAUUUUGAUAUUGAAUGUUUAGAACUUUGCAAAACAACGAAUUGUUUCUAAUUUUGUUAUAUUUUUUUUUAAUCAAUUUACCACUACGCCAAGUAGAGAAGAAAUUCAAAUUCCACCCCACCACUGAAUUUGAAAUCCAAACCCAGCUAUCAAAACUAAAAUAAACAACACUACUAUAAUUUUGGGUCUCAAGUUAGAAAUAUCCAAAAGCUGACAAUUCAAACUACUUGGAACCUGUAAACUGGGCUUAAAUGGUACAAAAACAUCAUCAAAUAGCACAAAAAUCCACAGGAUGUCCCAAUAUCUUCAGUCUUCCUUAACCAAGUCCGUAAACGAUGUCAUCCUAGCAGCUCUAUCAAAUACCUCCCUGCUAGCAUACGCUAGAUAAUAAUCACAAAUUUCACCGUCUGUGUUGGUAUAAGUUUGCUGCCGAAUAUGGUUUCCAAAAACAUUACACGAACCGAACCAAUUCUUGCAACAAUCUGGUGAGGACAGUUUGACAAGGUAAACCAGAAAGCCUGUUGGAGAACAUAACCAAAGUAUACUUUUCCUACGUAGACCUGUGUCAAAGCUAUAAAACCAAAACAAAAAAGACAUGUUAUGUGACUUAUGUCUAACAGUUUAACAGAAUACAUAAUACAGAAUACAUAUACACAUACACAUACACAGUUUUACAGAAUACACACAACAAUUUUACAGAAUACAGAAUACACACAGACAUACACAUAACAGUUUUACAGAACACACAUAACAGUUUUACAGAAUACAGAAUACACAUACACAUAAUAGUUUUACAGAAUACACAUAUACAUACACAUACACAUAACAGUUUUACAUAAUACAUACACAUACACAUAUUUUACAGAAUACAUACACAUACAAAUACACAGUUCUACAGAAUACACAUACACAUAACAGUUUUACAGAAUACAAAAUACACAUACACAUAACAGUUUUACAGAAUACAUACACAUACACAUACCUUCGUAGAUGUAAUUCCAAAUCCAAUGGACUCAAGAUGCGUUCAUCUGUGUUUUGAAUGAUGAAAAUCAUGGUUUUUCCAUCAUAAAACUUGUUUUCAUACUCAAUUUUAUGACGAUACAACUCAUCGAACACAGAUCCUUCAAACAAAAGCUUCGAUUCCCCGCGUUUUAUAGAAUAAACUGUCAAAAAUAUAUAAAAUGGGAGAAACUCAAUAAUUUUUAGCUCUAAUAUUUAAAAUGGAAAAAAAUAUGACAAUAUACCUUGAAUAACUCCACCAGUGUAAGGAUCAUUCUUUGCCGCUUCCAUUAAUUCUUUGACUAAGGCAUCCAUGUCCCUUGCUGAUUCUGGCCUGGUAGAAUUGUAAAAAUAAUUGAAAUAUAAGAAUAAUUAUUAUUAGUUACAGGGGAAACAUAAAAAAGCAUUCACAUAUUCUAAAGAAACUAAUAAGAAUUAUUUUUUUUUUUUUACAUACUUUCUUAACUGACAUAAUCCGAGCAAGCUUCCACUUCCAGAUCCAAAAACAUUAUCUUUUACGUUGAUCGCCUGAUCAAGCCCAUCCCCCACAAGCCUAACAUCAUGUGCCUACAAGAAAAAACAAUAGUUAAAUGUUAGAUCUUUUAUUUAUAAAAAAAAAAUAAUGUUUGAGCUUUGAUUUAUAUCAAAAAGGAGAAAUUCGAUAUAAUUUAAGACAUUUUGAGUCAAUUUAGCUUAUUUACUAUGUCCUAAUUGGUACAUUGUGGGUGUUAAAACUUGGGUGAAUAUAUGUCUAUGAGGUAUUUCAAAAAUUGGGUAUAGAUUAAAAUUCACAAACAAAAAUCUAUAUCAAAACACAUACCUAUUUAUCAGGAAUCCAAGAACAUAAGUGAACAAAAGAACGGUGAUCCUUUACAGGGUCCAAUGGAGACUCAUGAAAGUACUCAAUGGCAGCCCUGCCAACUUGAGCAAGAGUAAAUGGCAUUUGACUUCUUUUUUUUAUGCUCAUUCAUUUGUUCAUUGACACGCUGUUUCAUCUUCUGGCACCUGAUGGCAUCUCCACAUAGAGUGGCAUAAACAUUUGGAACGAUCUCUAUGAACUUCUGAUCAUUAAAGCUCAGCAGAAGCUCAUAACCAGUUCUCUUAUGUUUUGGAUCGACCGCUGGAAAUCAAACAUAAAUACGUGAACAUUAUUAAGUCUCACUUAAACAUAUACAUACACACACAAAGCAAUUUGAAUGUACCUUUAUAUGUUUGACUCUUUAGUGAAUCAACACCAACUAGUAGCUCUGUUGGCGAACAGCGUAUCCAAAAAACUGUGGUCCCGUGACAUGAUCCCAUGAAAUACUGAGUAAGCUCAGCCUCAGUGUUGCUCUCAUGCAGACUAAGGUACUCCGGGUCCUUCAAACUUGGCCAGCUCUUUGGAACUUCCAGAUCACUGAUCACAAAAUGUAAAACACAAGGAGACCAAUAAUUAGAUAAAAGUUCAGAAAAGAAGAAAAAUAUGUAUAUUAUAUCACUGCUAAGAGUAGAGUCAUUAUUUAUAAAAUCAUGGACGAAAAGAAAACGCUGAUUAUCUGGAAUAUAUUCUGGAAGGUAAAAUGACAUACCCCUCGAGACAUUUCUCCUUACACAGAUUAAUAUACUCAUCUGUAUAUUUGUUUAACAUAUUGUCCAUGCGAUUUACCAACUCUGGGAUAUCCUCUAUAGGCAUUAUGUCCCAAAUCUUCAAUACUUGUAUAUAUCUCAAAUCCUUUGCUAUGUCUGUUGUGCAAACAAUAUAUAGGUCUUCAACCUUAAAUUUCUUCAGGAUCAGUGAAGAGUUACCACAAAGUAUAUCUGAACUUUGCAUCUUCGGUCUCCAGCCACUGGCAAGCUUUAGUAGAACAUUUAUCACUGACCUCUUCAAACUGACUGACUUCAGUUUCUUGAAUGAAUUCAAAAAAUCAUCGCUAAAAAGUACCUGAAGAUUUAUUAUAGAGCAGAACAUCCAAUUUCAGAAACUUUUGAUAAGUUCACAUUAGGUUCUUAGAAAUUUAGGGGCGAUCAAGAAGUAAUAACAAAAAUCAAUAUCUUCAAUUACCUUCCAUCUAGCUCUUCUGAAAAGUACACUGUCAGAAUUAAGCAAAUCAUCUAGUUGGUCGAACUGUUUCUUCACUUGUAGUAUGGCCUUGGCUAAAUCCUCGUCUUCAUCAGCAUUAAAAAAGCAUUGGCGAUUUUUGGCAUCAAGGACCAAGGCCUCCCAAACAGACUCACUUUCACAUAGCGUUCUUUCAUUCCCCAAAAUCCACAGGCAGUGCCUGCAAACAUCAGAGAACCAGAAGUUAUAUCCAUCAAGCUAAUUAAAAAAGAUGCAAAAGCAUACAGGUUUAUGUAGGACAUACCUUGCCCUUGUAAGAGCAACAUUAAUUAUCUGCGGUUUUGAAAUAAACUCAAGUGACUGUUGACAAUUGGAUCGUACAGUGGAAAAUAUAAUGAUGUCCUCUUCCCCACCCUGGAACCCGUCAACUGUCUUCACUUUCACUAUAAAUCCAUCAAGAUUAUUAUAUUUCUUUCCAAGUUUGUCCUCGAUUGCAACUACUUGAGCAGCAUAUGAAGAAACUACACCAAUACUGAGAUUCUGUUUUGAAUCAAUCCAUUCUGUUACAAAAAGAAAACCGAAAGCCAUCAAUUGUCAGUAUGAAAAGAUAAAGAUGAUAGAAUUUCUACAGUUACGUGCUUGUUUGAGAAAAUGAUUCAAGGAAUUAUACUACCAAUGCUUAAAACCUUCAUUUCUACUACAGGAUUUAUAAUAGAUAAAUAAAUAAACCAUAUACAAUGAUCAUGCAUCAGAAGAAGAAAAGAAAAAAAAAAAAAAACCUAUUCAGUCUUGUAAACUAUAUAUAUUCACCACCUAAAUGGAACCAGUCCCACCAGAAGCUAUGAAGCACAGGGCAGAUAUAAGAAGUCUUGCAUGCAGUACAAAAACUCUUAGAUGAGCUUUAGCUUUUCUAAAUGGAAUAAAUAUUUAUCCUUACUAACAAAAUAUUAAACUUUCAAGUCAAUGCUAUGCAUACACCAAAGACAAUUUGAAAUUUAUUAACAAAUAUGACCAGAUCAGAAGCUGAAGUGCACCGUCACAUAAAAUAAAAUGAAGCAAGUUAAAAAUUGAAAAAAUAAAAUGAGAUGAGAACACAAGGAAGAAUGCAACGAUAUACCUAUGUACAAAUUCUGCAGUAUUUGUGAAACAACAGCAACCUCAACCAUAUUCUUCCGACUACAUCCAUCCUCGUCUUUCUCUUCUUGUCCACCAAUUACAUUGAUAAAAGAGUAAGGACCAAACAUUGACCCUUUAAGAUAACUUUCCUCCUGGCCUCUCCUUUUGAUAUAUGGAGCAUCCAGGAUCAUGUUAUUGUAGAAACUAGAAUUUGGGAAGGAACUGAUUGAUGGAUGCAUCCUGUACUGCAUAUUCAGGAGGUGUUUUGAGUGACCAACUAAGCUUAACCUCUCAAACAAGCUUCUUGCAAAACCAGCUUCAUCAGAAACCUACAGAAGUAAGGAAUUUAGCAUAAAGUAUACAUAAAUAAGAAGUGGAACAAAAACUGAUAGGACGAGUAAAGACAUGACAUCUACUUACAGUGCUCUUUACUAUAGCAGGUAACUGACAUUCGUCACCAACAAGAACAGCAUGCCUCACACCUGGUAGUUGAAGGGGGAUUGUUGAUUCACACUCUUUCAAUUGUGCAGCUUCGUCAAUAACCACAAUGCUUAAUGGCUCCAUUGCCAGUUUAUGCAACUUAUAUGAGCUGGAUGCAGUGCAAAAUAUCAAGGAAGCACUUUUGAAAACAAAAUGCCAUUAGAGACUCUUGCUUCAUAAAGUCCGGAAGAUCAAGUUUUCUAAGAGAGUCAAAUAGUUUAUGCAAAACUUUAAGGCAUUCUCUUCUAUUUGUGAAUAGAAGAAAAGAGUUAUCAACACAUGUCUCUGAUAUGUCUUCUACAUCAGAACGAGAGAAAAUGUCUUCAAGUGCUUCAGGAGCAACAUUACCUUGAAACAACAAUGAUUCAAAGGAAUCUACCAGGUUGACAAGCGAAACCAUGCUUUGGAAAAUAUCUGCGGAAAUGUGAUUUUUCGCCAUGUGGGUACAGAAGAUAGAAAUGCAAUAUCUUAGAGGUGAUGCAAUAGAAACAAAUCUAUCUCUUAUAAACUCCAGAAAUGUUUUGCACUUGUCCUUGCCAACUUUAGUGACAAUUCUACUUUCUUUCACUUGCAUUUGGCCUGUAGUCUUCAGUUCCUUCUCAAUAGUUAACCCGUUUCCCAGAAAAGUACGGUAGUGAGAAACACCAUCUUCAAGACAUUCUAUCAUGGAAGUAAAGCAAUGCCUCCAACCAGUCUGUGGCCCUAGGCACUCAACAAGCCUUUUGAGACGGAAAUCUAAAUAUAUCUCUUCAAUGUCUGAGCCAAUUUUGAGUCGCUCCUUAUUCCCAAAUAGAAGAACUUUUCCCAAAGAACAAUACGGAGCAUUGGACUCUACUUCAGUCACCAUCUUUACAAGGCGAGAAGCAAUUUCAGUUAUUGCAACAUUUGUUGGGGCACAAACAAGAGUCCUGCAAUUCAUCUGUAGCAGGCUUAAGAGUAGAGUGACAAUGGUUUUCGUCUUUCCAGUACCAGGAGGACCCCAAAUCAGUUCCACAGCAGACUUGUCACGAGAAUGCAGCAUUUCAAGACAGGCUAAAACAGUCCCAGUUUGGGAUUCACUCAAGCCAGAUGAUAAACUCUGUACCAAUCCCAUAUUCACAAUGUCACUGUUCUUUUCAGAGCAGACACUUUUCUGAGCCUGUAAUCAAGCAUAAGGUCUUCAGUCAGUUCCAGCAAUAUAUGACAGUUUAAAGAAAGAAAGAGUUACAGAUACAUAUAUGAUUACAUCUAAAAAAACCAUUACUUAAUUUCAGUGGUACACAAGUAUUAGAGUUAAAAGCAAGGGGGAAACAUUUGUCAUAUUUCUUCAUGAAAUUUAAACCAGAAGAUAUGGUCUCAAUAUUAAUAAAUUAUAACUGAUAUAGUAAAGGUUAUUUAGCUGUGUAAAAAAGCUGAAUUCACCGAGUAGGUGAGUACUAUCUAUGGUGUGACCAGUAUUACAUUACAUCUUACAUCAUCUAUAGCUUAUGUAACGCAACUAUUUCCCAUGUUAGUGAAUGUACUAACUCAACUAAUCAAAAUCUACUAUCACAAUUUACAAAGCUCUCACCACAUUAUCAGUGCACAGAACCUCCUUGACAAUCUUCAAGUUUUUGGACAUGUGCAAAGCUUUCCAUAUUCUUCCAUUUGGUAUUAAGUUCACUAGGAAAACCAUAAACAAUGGUGUUGUGCUCUUUAAGACUUUAAGCUCUUUGGAAGCCUUGACUUUAAAAUAAAGAGAAGUAGUGUCAUCCUUGUUCUCAUUUUCUGACACUUUAGUGACUGAUCCAAAAGCCCACGACCUCCCUAACCUUUGUAAAUCAGAAACAGUUUCAAGUUUAGCAUUUGCUAAAACAAAGAGAUCACCAGGCAAAGUUUUGUAUGGCUCCUUGCCACGGUCAUUGAACCUGUUUCGCCAGUAAUCAACCUUGACAUUGUAGAGCUUUCUUCCAUAUGGCUUGGCAUUUUCAAAAGAAACUACUUUAGCAUAUGGUGCCCUGUGAAUAGUCUCCAUACUUGAAUGGACUUGUGCUCGUGUUUCUUCUAAUAAAGGAUACACAUAACACCCGAAGUAAUGCUCAACAGACUGAAAUGACUCAGGAAUCUUUUCCACCUACAAUAACAAACACAAACAGUAAGUACUUACAAAGAUAGAAAAACAAUCAGUACUUACUCCUCAUUUCAUUGGAAAAACUUGAAUUCUCUAGAGCCGUUUUUCGCAAAAGCAUGAACUAUUUACAUGAAUCUUAAACAUAUAAGUUAAUCCGAAACGCAUUUACUCAUAGUUUCAGAAUUCAAACACAGCACACAAUCAAAACAGAGCCUUUUUCUUUUGCACAUCUCUGCUCAGCAGUACAAAAUGAAAAACAAAACCCACAAAAUCAAUUACAUUUUCACAUUGCAGUAAAAUCAAAGCAUGAUGAAAAAUUAGAAAACUGAAACAGUUGGGGUUAAAGAUUAGGUCUUUCUGAGUCAUCAAGAUUUGGUGGGCUUUGAGCUACUAAAAAGGAACCUCCUUUCACAACCGUCAUCAAGAUUCAAGCCAUAAAACCUUUCCCAUUUCACUCAUCUAUGCUAAGUAAACAUAAAGACGCUACCUUUCCUCAGUAAAAACACGAAAGAUGUGAUUUUUAUGCAGCAAAAGUGAAAACCAAUUACCUUGUUCUUGAAGAGACGUUCGUUGAGAACGUCAUCAAUGGACCAAGAGAAGACUGUAUCGGCCAAAAGGUUGGGUCUUUUACCUUUCUUCUUGUGUGAAGCUUCCAUCUUCACCUUUUCCAACUCAAAGGCGCUUGCUUUCCUUGUCUGCAUUCAAAACAAAGCAUGUGAUUUUGAUUUUGGAACCCACAAAGUUGUGUAGAGAAAGAAAAAGAACUGAUUUUGAAGAACAGAAAUGAAAGAAGUACAUUACAUUUUCAACUCUCUGGGAUUGAAGCUAGCAUGGAGUGUGAAAAGAGAGAGGUGAAGCUUCUGUGUGGAGUAAUCGCAAGGGUUUAGAAAGUGAGAGCAAAUUGUGAAGGCUUGGAGGAGAAGUAGUUCAUCUCUUGACCAUUUGACCCUUGUCUUCUUUUUUCUUUUUCUUUUUAUGCUUUGUAUUGUAAAAUGCACAUUUAUUUAGACGUUGGUUAUGUGAAGAGAGUCGUUGGGAGUCCGGACAAGUUCUUCCCACAAAGGUCUUUAUAUACAAGUGCACUAAAUAUACAAGUUCAUAUUUUGUCAAAGUUUAGAUUAUCAAUUUGGACAUUUGGGUAGAUCAAAUCCGAAACAAACGUUGUGUUACAAACUGAAGGUAAAUGGUCACUAAAAGGCAAACUGAAGCCCAGUUGUGUACAGUACACCAAGAGAGAAAAGAAUAUAGAGAAAAAUAAAUUACACACGGUGUACCUAUGCAUUGUGUCUCCGUAGCUAGUUUCUCAACUGUAGCCAUAUUAUCAUGAUGUGGCAUCAAAAUGUACUAAGAGAUACGAAAGCUACCAAGACAAUCGAAAUGUUUAUAACUGACCUUCCAUCUAAUGUGGCGUAGAAUUGCACCAAUUCAUCCAGCAUUUUCAGCACUUGUCUAGAUAACUUAUGUUCUUCUUUGCCAACACCAGACCAUGCAGCAGCGAAAAGCCAAAUAAUCUUCUCCAAAGCCAACUGAAAAGAACAGUAAGGAAAAAUUUAACACUAUGAAUCGCUGGCUUAUCUGAACCAUGUAAUAACUACUAGAAUUACCUUGAUUGUUGAGGCAUCUGAAAAUCUAUUGCACUGUUCUCUUCCCUUAGCUUUGUUGGUUUGAAACCCUUUAACUAUUUCCCACAAAGGGAUAAAAAUGGAUUGGGAAGUUAUUUCUAUUCCAAUGCUGAAGGGUUUCAGUGGUGUGCCUUUGCCCUUGUGAAGAACGAGCCACAGGAUGUUUUGAUUUCAGAAUUUCACCAGUGCAUAGGUUAGCCUUCAUGUAGAUGCAAAUGACAUCUGAACAGCAGAACCUUGAACAUUCAACCCCGAAACUUGUAACCACCAGAGAAUCACGUAAAGAUGCAAUUCCCUUAAGGACAUAACAAAACUCCUUUGGUAGCUGUUCAGAAAUGUACUUCCUCCUCAGCAUAUCCAAAAGAAUAUCAAAACCCAUACCAAAUUCAGAUAAAGCAAACAAAACACAAAACCCCAUCUCUGCAUCAGUAGCAAGUAAUACAUCUUCCAGCAUCUUCCAACUCUUGGUACACUUUUUAAUCAAUUUAAUCAUAUUUAUCUUAUCAAAAAGAAGUUCCCGAACCACAUCAAUCAGAAACUGAAGGAUGCAUCCAAAAGAAAUUAAAACAUCAGCCACUAUUACUCGGUAAUAUUCCUCUUUAUAUAUUAGCUGUUCAAUAAAACAAGAUCUUGUAGUGAUUGCAUAACCUUAGAAGCAACAGAUCCAAAUCAGAAGGCAAUCUACAAGAUAUAAGGAGCAAUCAGGUGAUAUAUGUAGCAGUGUAAACUCCAAUUCUUACUAUAAGUUUCGAACAAUGCAUCAUGAAACCUCCGCAAAAGAGAACCUCUGGACUGAUAUUUCCAAUUAAAGAGCCUUCAGAAAAGUCUGACUCUCUUUGUUCUACAACAGUGUCAGACACCACAGCACAUUCUAGAACUGUUGUAUUUUUAGGCUGCUCACUGUUAUAACCUUCUGGAAGCUCAGACAGAAUAUUGUCACAUGACACAUAGAUCCUCAAUGAACUUUUUCCAAGGAGAGUUGCAGUCUAUAUUUUUUACAAGCUUCCCACAAAGUUCAUUAUCCAGCUUACCAGACCCGAGAAUGAAACUUGAUUUGGUAGUGACAACAUUACCUUGGAAGUAGGAUACCAACAUCAGAAGGUGUUCAAUAAGAUACAAGAAACAAUUAGGUCAAAUGUAGUCAAAAACUUCCUCCAGUUUGCAUGAUAUAUAGGUUUCAACCAAAGCUUGAUGCAACUGCCUGACAAGAAACACCUCCCUUCUUUUCUCCAAUGGCAUUCCCACACAUAAGGCACUCCCUACAUAAUCAGAAAUAACAACUCCCAUGGCCGACUACAUUUCAAAUGUUCUCGAGCUUGUAUAGUUCAGAAUCAACAAUCCCAGACCCCGGAAUAACCUACAUGUCAAUCUACCGCGUUCACUUCUAUUGUUAUGCAUAGCUAGCUGGCUGAAUAUCAGAUGCUCAGGUGUUCUUCCCUAGGAAAAGCUCUGAACAGUAUCUGACCAUUUCCCCGGAGAAUGAUCACUGCUGCUGUUCAAAGACAGUAUAGCAUCUGCCCUCGAAUCCCUUAUCAUGCUCAAAACCUUUCUCAUUGUAGGUCUGUUCUCUGGUGUAAUCGAAACACAAGCCAUUGCAAUAUUAAGAAGCGCCUGAAGUUUCUCCUCUGAUGCCUCAUUGCCAGAGCUGACAGGUUCUGUCUCCUCGCGAACGGAACGAACCCAUCGAGGAAUGUUUUGAGUCAUGUUCAAAUAGAGGCAAUACAUGCAUGGGAAAACAAAUUCUCAUGUACCCAGUCCCUUUCUUUUCCACACCAAGUUCAGUUUCUCCUUACUGCAAUCCUCCUCCAUCAACCAUUUCAGCCCCUAACAUAUACAUUAAGAUUAAUAAUCCAACUCUCAACCAAUUUAGUACCCCAAGUAGGAUCAAAGCAUGCUACCUUAAUCCAAAUUCCAACUCUCCACAAAGUACUUCGGUUGUUCCUUCAUUGAAUUUGAAAGCUCGGAGUUCCUUAAUCAAAUAAAAUUCAUCGCAAAUCAGAAACGAAGUCUCAAUUUGGCCUUAACAAAACGAAUUAGAUGGUCCACACGCCGCGGCGUUUGCCGGAGUUGAAAGUCUGAAUCAUGGUGUUUCGGGUAAACCAGAGCCGCUGACUUCACCAUGGAAGUUUAGAUGUGGCCGGAGAAGGUGAAUCGAUCCUUCCUUGCUGCGAAGGGGCGUACGUGAUCGUCCGGCAUCGGGGGUGGCUGAAGGCUUUGAGGAUCGCAUAUGGCUACAUGCCUGCAUGUGAGGUUCAGAUUGGGUUUUGGUCGGUUUGGAAGUCUGUUUCAAUGCAUAAAAAAUAGCUUGGGUUGGGCUUGAUAAUGGGUUGGGCUUGUUUUUUGGUAGGCCUAGUUAUUUAGGGUUUUAAUAUAUUUUUUUAGGUUUUCAAUCUGUUAACGUGGAACUUGGGGUAACCCCCUCUGCGUAGGGUGGUCUAGGUUGCGCCUGGCUCUGUUCUUUUGAGUUUCAUCACAUGAUGAUUGCAUUAAGUUAUUUUAGGGUAUCUCUGCAUGGCUUAAUUCUUACGUGGCCCCUCUGAGGCAAAUCAUGUAUAUGUAAUCUCAUUUUUUAUUGAAUACAAAGCCGUACGUCUUUCCUCUCAAAAAAGAGUUUUGGCUAUCUUGGGCCAACGAUCCAUUAAGCUUAUAAUAGAUGGAUCCACAAUUGAAAUAACAAACCCAACCGACUGCGAUCUCCGAUAUAAAAAGGGAAUAAGAAACCUAAUCUAUCUACCAUUCCCUUUCGUUAUCUAUCUUUCACGCUCGAACCCUAAGAAGAAAAAAUUAUGGCUACUGCAACCGAAACGAGCUCCCAGCAAGAUGUGAAAAAACUAAUUAACCUUCUCCUUUGAGAAUCUCGCCGCCUCUUCUCCCGGUAUGAAUUUCUUCGUUCAAUUUUUCUCAUAUGUUUUGGGAUUUUUCAACAGUUUGUUGCGAAUGUUUUUGAUAAAAAUAUGAUUAUUGAUUGUGAAAAAUAUAUAUGUUACUUUAUAAUCUCAGAUCUGAAGUUGUUGUUGUUGCUCUUGUCAGGUAAAAAGAAACAGUUGGGUUCCAGAUCUGGAAGCAGCGAUGGAAAAGGCUACACGGCAUCCGAUGAUUCAGGUUUUCUGCUUAAUUCGUUCCCCUUUCGUUUAUUAAACUAAAGAUGAUGCUCCCAAUCAUGCCGGGAAAACCACGUUGUUGUCCUUUAUGUAUAAGUCUUUACAGAUCUACGGCAUUAGGAGCUCGAAGAUACCAACCCCCGUACAAAUACUCCACUUAUGCACAAAAUUUCUUGAGGCAUUUCAAAGCAGUUGAUGCUCCCAUCCUGGUGACUUCAUCAUAUUGAUCAACCCCUGCAUCAUAUGCAAGCAUUCGUAACGCACCUAUCAUUUUUUGUUCUGGGAGCAAUCCCAGCUUUCUUGUGACAUUUGGCUUCUGUUUCCAAAAAUCGUCGAAAUUGCAAAGGUCCGCCAUGAUGCGAUUGAAUACUGGUUUUUGCAUUUGAUAACGCUGACAAAAAAUUGUGUUGCUAUACACUAGACGCUCGACAAAGUAAUCCUUCAUCAUGUUAGCCCCUCUUGAUUGCCUGUGUCUUUCGACGUUAUAGGCACAACCAAGUCGUGAACCACGACCUUAAGGAGUCUGCAUCUGCAUAUGGUGAUAUUGGGCAACCAAUGCAGCGGCUUGAGCAUUGUUGGACCGAAUCUGCAUAAUAUGCUCUUCAUCUUCUUCAUCUCUCGCUCUCAAAUAAUUUCUAGUACAAUCCAUGAAAAUGGUGAGAAGUGAAAUAGAUGAUGAUAUCUGAGUUUAGAAGGAGGAGAUGAAUGUGUGAAUGUAGAAUGAGUUUAAAGCUUAUUUAUUGACGUUUUUAGGAGACAAACUGUUAUCGUCUACACACGUGGCAUGUCAUGAUUUGCUUGAAAUCCUAUCCAAAAUCAUCUCAAUUAUUUUUGACGAUAACGAUAUAUGAAAAAGACAUGUGUCGUCUGUUUAAAUUCCAACAACCACCCAGAUACAAACUCCAUCUCAUAAACCAAACCCACAUACCGGAAUCACAAAAGCCAGAGUCUUGCCGGAGCCGGUCUUGGCGGCGCCCAGAAUGUCCCUUCCGCAGAGCGCGUGUGGCAAACACGCGCGCUGGAUAUCGGUCAUGUCGGUGUACCUGGACUGCCGCAAGGCGUCCUUGGUCUUCUUGGAGACGGGGAGCUCGGCGAACCUGGUGGCGCCGGCGUAGCGGGAGAAGGACGUGGGGUCCACGCGCCCGAUGGGGGCGUUGGAGGGGAGAGGCGGGAGGGACAUUGGGUUGGAGCCGCAGUCGGGUUUCUGGGAUUCGAUCCAUGAAUUGAGGAGCUUGAUUUCUUCGACCUCUGAUAGCAGCUUUUGCUUCCGCGUUGUUUUCGAUAUGGGUUUUCUCAUUGCUGCUCUCUCUGCGACGACGACGUUAGGUUUUUGGGGUUUUAAACUGAUGAGGGUUUAAGCCUUUACGGCUUUACGUGAAAAUGUAAAAGUUAACUUAAACAAAACAAAAAGGGUAAAUUUUCUCUUGUUUUUACUUUUUAUUUUUUUAUCAGUUAAAUAACCCCGGAUACUAAAACGAGAGUCUGGUGUGAGUAAUCAUAUUGCACUCAUUCGUCUAUUUUAUUAUGAUCAUGGCUUCAUCUAUAAUCAUUCUCAAAAAAUACCACCAAGUCGUGACGCGUACCAUAUUUUAACCAGUAAUUAGUUAGUCUCAUUUAUAAUUAUUUUUUAAAAAAUAUGUGUCAAUGACAAAAUAAAAUGUGUUAAUAGCAUCACAUUUUUCUUAUUAUUCUCAACCUUGUCAGAUGAAUCAUAUUGCACUCACUCGUCUAUUUGUUAUGAUCAUUUUUCUUUAAAGUACUACUCAUGGUAAUUGUAUAAAAAACUUACGAUUUGCAAGUUAACUAAUUUAGCCAUCGAUCAAUUCUCAUUGAUUUUACAAUUCUAUUCAUUGAUUUGCAAGCAACUUGCGAUUUGAGACUCCAAUAAUGUAGUUGUCUAUGUAGAAAUAUUGUCGUUCUCAUUUAACACAAAUAACAUAAAAAGGGGAACGGUGAGGCCGUGAGGGAGCCUUUUCCUUCCCGCUUAUCAUCAACAAGGACCAAACUUUACACCAAAAAUACUACGUAAGAGGGAUAGGAUAACACAAAAUGGCAGAAAAUGAGAAAGUUGCUCGGUAUCAUAACAAUGAUUAAACACAUUCAACUAGCAAAUUCAGCUUAGGAAGUUCUGGACACGUACAUUUCCCUCCGUUUUGUCACACUUUUCUGCUGUAAAAUGGUUGCCGGACCCAGACAAUGGUCUCGAGUUCCUUUCCAGCAAGUUUGACAUUGUGCUCCAAAAACAGCUGCGAAAAUUCAGGUUCUAUCUUUUCAGGCCAAUAAAUCCUCUCCCCCCUCGUGAGCAACCUCCUGCUAAGUUGUGCAACUGUAGAUAUUUUGUUCCGGAGUUCUUGUUCACUAAGAACAAUAGAGAAAAAUGAACAACCAAUGAGGCACCAAGCAAAGAAGGUUAAUCAAAAGGUUGCAGUAUCGGAAAUCGAACUGACCUCCCAUCUAAUGCCGCAUAAAGUUGCAUUAAAUCAUCAAGCAUUGUCAUCACUUCUCCAGAUAAUAUUUGUUCAAAUGCGUUCGGACAGCGUGCAGACCACACAGAAGUUAAAAGGAAAACAAAUUUUUCCAACUCCAACUGAAAUGCCAUCAAGUAAUGAGGAAUAUUAUCUACUACAACUGCUGCUCAUAAUGUGAACCAAAUAACAAAAAGUAAUGAUCCACUUACCUUUUUGUUGAGGCAUCUGAAAUAAACUCCUCUGAUGAACUCUUUUUCACCUCCUGCAAGCCUUCCAAUAUAUCCCACAAGUGAUCAAAAUCCUUAGGGAGGUUCCCGCUGUUUUUCACCUCAUCUGCUUCCAGACCUGAGUCGGGUUGAAGAAGCUUAGAACUUUUGAUCUCAGCCUCAUCCGAAUCAAAGCAGAAGGCCCAGCACAAUCAUUAGCAUUAGCUUCUCCAAAANNNNNNNNNNNNNNNNNNNNCAGACCCCUUCUUUACUCCAAUGAUACUCCCACACAUAUUCAGAAUGAACAACUCCCAUGGGCGACUACAUUUCAAAUCUUUCACGAGCUUCUCAUGUAGUUCAGAAUCAACACUACCGGACCCCAGAAUAAUCAUUGCUAGCCUUCCAACUUGCCCAUAGGAAAGCUCAAUAGUUGAGCUGGUAUAAUCAACAACGAGUUGUUUGAGAAGUUUUUUAAAAGCAUCACUUUGUCUAAGAAGAAUCAUAUUCCCUCUCAGAGUUUUUCUCCAAUCAAAAGGAAAUAUGCAAGCAACAAUACUUUCAGCUGACAGAUCAACAAAUUUCCUUAGUGUGUUUAGAUCUUCAUCAUUCAAAAACUUGGAUCCCAAAACACACUUCGCUACCGCAUACAUCUUUGCAGCUACAUAAACCUGGUUAAGAGUCCAGCUCUGGAAAGAAACUGAAUCGGACUUCUUGAUAAUGAACUUGUAGAGCUCUUCAAGCUUGUUCAAGACCUUAAUACUACAAGAGAUUAGUUUGGAACUCCAGAAAUUCCGAGAAUCCAAAAGAAUUUGGAAAUAGUCUAUGGUGACCAAUUCCCCCUUCAUCAGAAUAUAUCUUUUAUUUUUACCUGUGACCCAAUCAUCAUCAGACAUGAGUGAAACAUAGACUGGUUUCAGAUCAUCAUGAAAAUCCCUCCAUACUCCCAAAUAAUUCAGAAACAAGUCUCCAUAGCAUCUCUUUUUGUUAACAUCUUGGUCUUCAAGAUUAUCGAAAUAUUUGAUCAAGUAAACAAUCUUGUCCUUCACAAGAUUCCAGAAAUACACCAGUGAAUCAACAGAAAACUGCUUUUUUGAUUCCUUCACUUCUAAACACUUUAUCAUAUCAUCAGGCGAUUUUUCUUCCCACAAAUACUUUGAGCUUGAGGACAGAUGAGAAUUAAGUAUUUUUUGGCUGGAAAACAGUUCAGCUCUCACCAAUUUCAUCUCUGGUCUGAUAUUAUCAACCUCAUCAUAAUAGUGAACUGCACAUCUCUCAAGAAACUUAAGUUCAGUUUUAUCAGUCCCUUUUUCUCUUAUAGCCAGACCAUACUCUUCUCUUGCAUGUUGCUUCCAAUCCUUAAUAUACUGCAAACCUAUGUCAAAUAGAUCUCCCACCAAACAUGCAGUAAGACACUCUGAGAAAAGUUUCCCCCUAGCAUAUACAUCAGCCGCCAAAUCAUAGCGUUCUGCUAGUGAGAAGCAUUCGCCGGCCUUUUGAAGUCCGGGUUCACCACAUUUUUCCAUAUAUAUAGUAGCUGCAAAAUUGAAAUUUAAUACUUGAGACAUUAAUUAUACUUAAAACUCAAAAGGCCAAUGACUGAAACCACAAAAGCUGGAUAAUCACAACAGAUGAUGCUAUCAUACCUGCCCUUACAUACAUCCCCAAAUUACAAAAGCAUCUAGCAGCAUAUUCUGGCCUUUCUAUGGAUUCAAAAAUGUUUGCCGCAUCCUCAUAGCUGCCUGCUAGAUAAAAGCAUUCUGCAGCUCUUUCCAGUCCUUGUUCACCACAUUUGUCCAAAUAAAUCCUACCUGCAUCACCAAAUAUACUUACUCAAUGCAAGCAAGAGUUUGGAUAUAGCAAUAACAGACAUAUGAAAAAUAAUUAUUUACUGUUGCAGGAAAUUGUAUCCUCAUACCAGCCCUUUCGUAAUCCCCUAAAUCAAAAAAGCAAUUGGCAGCAGAAUUUGCCAUUCCUAUAUCUUCAAAAGUUAUUGCAGCUUCCCUAAGAAAGGAUCUGGCCUUUUCAGGAUUUGAUGAUUGCGUACAAUCAGCCAAAACUUUAAGGCCAGAUGCUCUUGACUUUCUUUCCCAAUUAAUAUCAUGUGCUUUUUCAAAGCACAUAGUGGCCAGUUCAUAGUUAUGCUGGUGAUAUAGCUGCACAAAACAUGAAUAUUAGUAAUUCAGACAGAUAAGAAGGAAAAAAAAAAUAAUGAAAGGAUCCUAUGAAAAAAAUAAUUAUAAUCAUCUUAGCAUCACAAUGACAAUCACUGUGAUGCUUAAAACAUGCAUAAAGGUGAUAUUAAUAUAACAUCUGAUACAACAGCAGCAACAACAGCAGCAAAAAUGCUUAUAUCUAUUCCAGAAACUAAACUAACCUUCAUGCCACGCAUUCUCCACUCCUCUGGGGUACUUUCAACUUUCAUUUUCUCUACAAGAGAAUCAUCAAUUUGCCUCACUUGUAUCAGACACUUCUUCUUCCAAAAGUCAAACAUGGGACUGCAGAUAUCAGCCAUUUUCUCAUAAAUCCAAAGUCUCUGUUUUGUGCGUGUAACAGCAACAUACAAUUGCUUCAAUUCAGAGCACAGCAAAUGGUGUUUGCCUCCAUUGAAACUUGGAAAUUUCUCAGGUGUUCUCGGAUCAAGCAAUUCAUUUUCCUUCAUAUAUUCAUAUAUCAGCCUCCAUUGCUGUUUGAGGGAUGAAGAUCCAAAAAAGUCAUACAAAAUCACAUCCUACAAAACAGAGAUAUGAAUGUUAUGACUUACAAAUGAACAAAGGAUGGAUUUGAGCCAAAUAUAAAAAGCCAAUUGGCCCGAUUGUAUCUCUAUAUAUAUUAUAAAUUGCAGCAAGUUCUUAUCAAUUUCAAAUCUGAACCAGCAUCAUACCCUAAAGACAUUUAAAAACUGCAGCCAAAUGAUAUUGAAAGAGAAAGAAACAAAAGAACCGAUCUUGUCACUGGCAGAUUGAUUACAACUUAAAUCUCUUAAGAUGAUCAACGUUACGACUUCCAUGUGAUACGACUAUUUAAUGACCACUAUGGUAAUCACCUGAAACUCGAGCCCCUUGCUCUCCAAUAUGGUAAGAACAAGAGCCUGCUUGCCAACAAAGUUGGAAAUUUCCUUUCGAGCACAAGAGUCACGCACCAAAAUAACCUGCUCUGCUCCGAAGCCAACAAUGCUUCCUGAUGUACUAUUACUCCCAAAUAACUUUCCAAUCAUAUUUUCAUUUUCAUCUUCUCCGGAUUCAAGUAAAACCGGAGCUUCCCCAUGUACUGGACUAGUUUCAGGAUUCAAAGGAUCAAUAUAUUGGGGGAAAAAAUGAUACAGUAGAUCAAUUAUGCUCUGUGAUAACUUCAAUAUACCAUUAUGUGUGCGGAAGUUCUGAGUCAAAUGAAACUUGUUCGAGAUUUUUGCUUUGCCAAACCCUUUUUCAUGCUUGUUGCUUCCCGAUUCCAACAUAAACUUCUUGUAGAACAGAUGCCGUAUAUCUUCAAAUCUGAAGUCAAUACCCUUUGAAAUGGUCUGCGCCGUAUCACCCGAAAAGACAAAACCCUCGUCGACAUUACUACAGAUAUGCUUGAAUAGGGCAACUUGACUCAUUGUAAGAUCCUGUACUUCAUCAAUGUACACAUAAUCCAUCUCAUCACCCCUAUAAUUUUCAUGUUUCAGCCGACGGUGAAUAUCAUUUACGAAAUCAGCAAUAUCGAACUCCCCAUUCCUCAGCUUCAUUUUUUCAUAAACCUGAAAUAUAUCAUAUAUGAUCUCUUUAUUCUCCUCACUAAGGUUGGAAGCACGACCUGACAUUUUCACAUAACAGUCCCUACUACAUAUCCCAUCACUUGCUUCCAAAGCUUCCAGACCACCUUUUAUAUGAGAAAUAAUCUCUGUAAAGACUCUUGAAGCAUCAAGCUUCUUUGUUAUCUGGAUAUUAAAAUGAGGCCAGUAUGAUGAAUAGAACUUAUCAUAAUUGACCUCCUUUGUCCUCAUGACGGUUUGCAGCAGAACAGAUCUAGAACACUCUAGUGAACCAUGAGGAAGAUUUAGCUUUUCAAGGAAUCUUUCAAAGUAAGAAUUACCCAAACUUCCAUCCAGCAUCAUUAAGAACUUACUAAAUGUUAUGAAAAGAGGAUAGAUCUUCAGCGGAAGAUCAAGAAAAGAGUUUGGAAUAUCCCCAAACUGUGCUUCCUCAGCAUCAAAAUCAUCCAUGUCAAACAAACUGAACUCAGAUGAAUGGCUUCCACCAGAAGAAAAACUGUAGGGACACAAAAUUAAUAUUAUUAAAACGAUUCAUCAAUUGAAGUUGAUGUAUACAGUUGAAGAGAAUAUCUGGCAUGGUUUGCCAAGAUGACAAUGUAUCAUAUUAAGCUAAAAUAUCUACAGAUGGAUGAGCAGGAAGAAUGGUAUCACAAAUGAGGUGCUAAAUAUCAUGCAUGCUUGCAUAUUUAGCUAACUUAAUUGAUAAAAGUUCAUGUACCUAAGGUGAAUUAUUUGUUCGCAGAAACUGAAUAUGAAUAUGCAAUGACAGAAAUUAAGUUUUCUGUACGUACAUUCAGGUUCGUUUCAUUUGCAUACUUACAAGAUAUUACCAAGUUUCAUCUAAGAUCAACAUAAAGAAUAUAAAAUGAUUCUUGGGUAUCUAGUGCUACAAGAGAAUGGUGAACAGAAUUAAAGAGUUCAGUAUAAAAUGUAUAUAUAGUGAAUACAAACAAAUAGGUUCAAUUAUAUAUACUAAACCAUCCACGAUUCAUUUGUGAAAGAAUCCCCUUACCUUUUCAAAUGUAAAACAUGUUGCUUCACAGCAAAACAAAGUUUCGGACUCACUGUUACAAAAAUCUGUCGUAGAACAGAACUCUCCUCUGCUCCAUUCAAUGCUUCUUCUGCCAUAUUGUGACCCUCUUCGUUCUGAUACAACUUCAUUGACAAAACAGUAGUCUUACCGGUUCCUGAUCGUCCAACUAUAAAGGUACUCCAACCGUAAAGGAUUGCGUCCAUUUCCUCGUCUGUGACUUCAAAAGGGAGAUCCAUUUUUGUACCCUCACGGUCAGAGAGUAAGUGAUUCACCACCCCAGAUGAUAAGGAGUAGAACUUCAUCAGUAACAAACUCUGAUUGAACUUUGAACCUUCAACAGAACUAUCAUCCUGGGACAUGCUAAGAUCCUUAUAUCGAACAAUAUCCAAAGAGGGCGGCCAGGUCAUUGGAACUUCCAAGUCACUGGUUGCAAUUGACAAACCACAAAAGUAUUACUAUUUUCUAAAAAUAAAACAAAUUUGUACCUAUAUAUAUACAUGUUGUAUAAUUCCAUAUAAAGGGGAACAGGAACAAAUGUACAACUUCAAUCAAAAUACUAAAAGGUAAAACAUACCCCUCGAAAUAUUUCUCACAGCAGAGUUUGAUGAAACCGGCAGUAUAUCUCACGAAAAACAGAUCCAAGUGAUUUACCAGUGUUUGGAUAGCACAAAGAUCCGGCAAUAUGUCCCAUACUUUUAAAACUUGCAUGUAUCUCAAAUGUUUUAUGAUGUCAGUUGAGCAAAGAAUAUAUAACCCUUGAACUUUGAACUUCUUCACAACCAUCGAAGAGGUAACACAAACUAUUUCAGCAUUACGUUUCGUACCUCUCCAGCCAGUUGAUAGCUUAAGUAGCAAACUGACUACAGACAACUUUGUUCGGAUUGACGUCAGUCGAUUGAACGACUUCAGAAAGUUAUCACUGAAAGUCACCUAGAAAAAUUGAGCUUUUCUUAAAUACUUACAAAAACAAGUACUUUGAAAAUUAAAGACGAAUUAAAGCUGGGAAAAUAGAAGCAGAGUACUGAAGCUUGUACCUUCCAUCUAGCAUGAGUAGCAUCUGUGCACAUGUGCAUAGCUUUCCAUAUUCUCAUGUUUGGUGCUAUAUUCUCCAAGUAAAUGAUAAACAGUGGUGUCUGAAUGCCACUGUUGAUAUCAAACUCUUUCGAUGCUUUGACUCUAAAACGAAGACAAGUAGUAUUAUCCUCGCUCUGAUCUAUUGGGAAUAAUUCAGUGGCUAUUAGAAACACCCAUGAUCUCCCUUCCUUUAGUAGAUCAGAAACAGUUUCAGGUUUAGCAUCAGCUAAAAUGAAAAGAUCACCGGGCCUAGUUUCGUAUGGCUCUUUACUGACAUUGUUUCUCCAACAAUCAACUUUGACAUCACAUAGCUUAUUUCUUGCGCAUGCUUCAAUAGAUAUUACCUUACCAAACGGUGCUCCAUGGAUAGUUUCCACCUUGGAUUGCAACUCAGAUCGAGUUUCAUCUAACAAUGGAUAUAUGUAAGAACCAAAAUAUUGUAGUAGGUCCGACCCAAAUGAUUGAGGACUCUUUCCCAAUCCGGCAACCUACAAAUAUUGUUCGAAUCGAAGGCAGAUCAUAUCAGUAAAACAUGUGUAUCAGUAACGAGUGAUGCAUGUUUCAUCUCUUAGAACAAAUCAAGUACGCUCUGUACUAAACUAGAGAUCGACAUGCACAAUUAUAUUAUACCUUAACAGAAGAAAUAAAACGAUCAAGGAGUUAGGUUGACAUGCAAACUCAUUUCCAGACUAGGCAUAUUCCACAAAAUCUCAUCAAAUUUUUAAGGGGGAGUAACAGAGACGAGGAUGAGCAAGAGAGGUAACUGAAUGUGUGUGUGUAAAACAUUUUACCUGGUGCUGGUAAAAAUUUUCAUUGAGAAUAUCCUCCAGAGACCAAGAAAACACAACAUCAACGAAGCUAUCAGAAGACGACUCAAAACCCUCCAUCAUGAUCCCCAGACUCUCUUAAUGCCUCAAUUACUGCAUCUAACUAUGAGUAUGAAAGAGAGAAAUGAGACGACUCUGCAUGUAAUAUUUCUUCCCUGUUGUACUUGCUUCUUCACUUUUUCUCCUUUUUAUCCUCUCUACUGUUCUUCUUUUCUUUUUCUCCUUUCUUUUUUUUUACAAAAAAAUUUAAUUGAGAGCUAAAUUACGCUACACCAUCAUCAUCAAGGCAAACUUAUAACCUCAACCUUAAAAACCUAACAGUGGACAAGUACAUAUUACACCAGCCUUUAGAUAUGAAUUUCCACAAAACCAAUAAGAUCUAUUAGUAAUAAAGAUCGAAUUUAAAUAAUAAGAUCUUCGUCAGAAACCGUCUUUACCAACUGAGCCAAUUUACUGAGCCAAGUUGGCUUCUUUUUCUCCUUUCUACUUUCUUCUUUUCUUUUUCUCCUUUCCACUUUCUUCUUUUCUUUUUUCUCCUUAAUGGCCUUUUUUAUGUUCAUCUUAACUGAGGCUUAAUUGUUAUAACUUGUGAGUGACUGAGUACUGGAGAAAUGGAAAAGGCGCGUGCGGUUGGAUCACCAUCCCGACCAACACGUGGAGAGCUAGAACCUCAAGGGCUAGCUAGGGUUCUGGUUUAGACAAGUGACGUCACCAGACCAUACUGCAAAAGUAGAGCGCUAUAAUUAGUGGCAGUAGAAGUGAAAGGUGGAGAGUAAAGCGUUUCGUGUUCGCGGAGUGAAUUUUCAAAUUCCGAGAAUCCUUUUUCUCGAAAGGCACAUAGAGUAGGAGAAGAACUGAAGCUUUAAGCAAUCUCAACAUAUUGGGCUCUAUUUGGGAAAGCCAAAAGGGCCUGAGACAACCUCUAAAUGGGCCCAAUGAAGUCAAGAGAAGCCCAAGCUGGGCAGCCUUGUAGAUUCUAUUAGGCACAAGCAAAACAAUACAAAAGAAACUCAUUAGAUGAAAGUCGUGAGAAAGUUGUGAGAUUGCACAUUUGCAUGAAAGUUGUCUGACAAAUUCAAUGUGUCUUGCUAGUUUUUUUUAAUGAAAAAGGUCAUACUCUAUUAACUAGGGCUGGCAAUUUAGGUCAUAUCGAAACCAACCAACCGUACCAACCUAGUUAAUAUACUAAAAACUUGGUAACCGACUUACUUGAUACGGUAUACCGUACCAAUUUUGGUAACAUGGUUGUUACUUGGUAUUGAGAUUUUCAUACAGUCGGUAUACCGUACCAACCAUGUAUGUAUAAUUAUGUAAAAAUACACUUAUAUCUAUGUAGGAAACGAGAAUUGAACCUCUAACCUUUUACAAACAAUCUAUAAAAUGUAUAAUAUAUGUAAAGAAAAUUAAAAUAUAUGUAUAAUAUAUAAUAUAUGUUUUGUUUUAUAGCUAUAACAUGCUAUAGAUAUAAAUACAAUUAAAUUAUAAAGUGUUUAAAUUUUAGCAAGAGGUAUGUUUCGAAAUCAUGACUGCUCUGAUGAAAAAUAUGACCACAUACCAUCAGACCAAAGCUAUCAUUGAAUUAUAUUUGUGAAAAAAUUAUGUUUAUCACUUCAUUUUUUGGGCCACAAUCUAAACUUGGUAGAGACUUAUUACCAACCGUACCAACCGUACCAAUUAAGUCGGUAUACCAACUUCGGUGGUUGGUUUUGGUAGAGGAUUUUGUCUACCAAUCAUAAGUUAGUUGGUACAUGGUAUUAAUAAAUAAAGUCGGUAUACCUACCAAUGAGUAAGCAGUAAAAAAACGAUCUCCCAAUGGGGUUCACAGAAAGAACCAUUAUGUAUAAACUAUUACAAAUUCAUCCAAAAAGAGUAAACUAAACUAGUAAUUUCUAAUACACCCACCUUCUUGUAUGAAACCCAUAACAAAAUGAAUGAAAACCCCGACUAAUAAAAGUUUCCCCAAAUGAGGUCACCGAGGUCUUUCUUCCUUAUGCGAUCUCUCCCACUCAAAUCGAGAUAAUAAAAAACUCAUUAUCCAUUGGUAAAAAGAGAUGUGAGCUGAAAACAAAAAUAAAAAUAAAAACAAAACAAUAACUACCCAAGAAGAAAACCCUAAGAGUCAUCCCUGACCAAGCUUUGCCACCGUCAAUCCCUACCCAAGCUGAAGCCGCCGCCGCCGCCGCUACCGUGCUCACACUGUGAAACCCGACACCAGCAACCAACCCAAGCUCACGAUUUUGCCCUCUAAGUUUAUCAAUAAUGCGCCAUCAUACUUUAAUUAGUUUAGGAGAGUUUGAGAUAUCUUUGUCAUCCUGGGCCAACGACCCAUUAACAAACCAGCCCAAACCCGACCGAAGAAACCUAAUCCAUCUAUCAUUUCGUUAUCUAUCUUUCACGCUCUCAUAGAAAUCUUGAACCCUAAGAAGAAAAAAAUAUGGCUUCUGCAACCGAAACGAGCUCCCAGCAAGAUGUGAAAAAACUGACCUUCUCCUUUGAGAAUCUCGGCACCUCUUCUCCCGGUAUGAAUUUUUUCGUUCAAUUUUUCUCGUAUGUUUUGGGAUUUUUCAACAGUUUGUUGCGAAUGUUUUUGAUAAAAAUAUGAUUAAUGAUUGUGAAAAAUAUCUGUUACUUUAUAACCUCAGAUCUGAAAGUUGUUGUUGUUGCUCUUGUCAGGUACAAAGAAACCGUUGAGUUCCAGCAGCGAUGGUUUUUUUCUCAUCUUAUGUUUUGAGAUUUUCUGCUUAAUUCGUUCCCGUUUAGUUUAUUAAUUUGUUUCCUAUGUUAGAAUUAUAUUAGUGAUAUCGUUGUUAUAUUGUACUUGUUAUAUUCGUUCCCAUUCAAGAUUCUUAUUUAUUUUAUCUUUUAUGGGUAUCUAACAAUGGAACUGAAACAAACAGGCUCCUAUCCUCCCAUCCCGUUCAGGUCGGAGUUCAUAGUGCCGGAUCCUGAGGUGAACUACAAACAAACAGCCGCCUAUAUUCGAGUGGGGGGUGAAAAUUCUUACUUAGACAUGUCCCAGUUCAUAGUGACUGGNNNNNNNNNNNNNNNNNNNNUACAUACCCACCUAUUCUCCUUUUGGCUUAAGGUCCGUGGCGGGUGAAGGUGCUUAUAGUGAAGAAAGUCGACCAAGUGUGCCUUGCGAUGAGUGUUCUAAGGAGCACCCCACUUAUUCUCGUUGCCCUUACUUGCCUUGUGACCUUUGUCAUCAGCGUCACCACCCUUCUUAUUGCCCUGCCGUGCCUUGUAAAAUUUGUUAUCAGCAUCUUCACCCCACUUCUAGUUGCCCUUACCCCUCCUCCAUUUCCCACAGGGUGCAACUUUUGACCAUCUCAACUAUGAAAUAAUUUGUGCAUGUGGUAAUCACUUCAAUGUGGAUAAGUGGGUUUGUACCUUUUGUACUAGGAGUAUACCUGUGCUUAAGAAGAAGUAUUGUUCCAUUUGUAAUAGUAGCUACGUACAGCACAGCACACAUGAAUGCCCAAAGGACGAGGUUCUUGCUGCUGAGUAUAAAUCGGUUAGAGACCAUCGUCUUUCAGUCGGGGCCAAAGUGAUUCCCUAUGACGAGGGUUCUCUGUGAGCAUCAUCAGGAACUGUGUCAAUUCCUCCUUCCGGGUUUGUGGACACAUGCAUGAAAGAUGGCAAGUUUAUUGUGUUCACCAAAUAAGCUUCAAUUACUUGUUUGCUUUUCUUGAAAAUAGACUGGUUGAACCAGAGGGGAUUUGGUUAAUGUAAGGUUAAUGCGACUUUAAUUAAAGACACCUUGAGAACUUGUUAAUAUCUGAAAUGUUUUUCUAUUUACUAUGUCCUGUAGGAUUUGCGUUUUUUGUUUGUUAUUGUCUUUCUAUGAUUAUGAUUGAACUCAGCCACUCAGGUGCUAUGAAGGUUAUGGAUUAUUAUUAUUAUUUUUUUUUCCCGCAGUUGGGAAAUAAUUUGUUGGUAGCUGUUCUCUGAUAUGUUCCCUCCUUUAUACAUCUAAGAGCACAUCAAAACACAUCCCAUAAUUCAUAUGAAGCAAAGUCAUCCACUCUGAUAAACCUUUUCAUCCAUUGAAUUUUGGUUUUUCUUAUUUUGGUUUUUGUUAUCGCUCAUAAACUCUUGGAUUUGUUUAAAAGAUAUCAGCACGUCUGCCUGUGUUUGGUACCUCUAUUCUGCAUCAACCAUUCAAUGAAACUUGAUUUGGUAGUGACAACAUUACCUUAGAAGUAGGAUACCAGCAUCAGAAGGUGUUCAAUAAGAUACGAGAAACAAUUAGGUCCAAUGUAGUCAAAAACUUCCUCCAGUUUGCAUGAUAGGUUUCAACCAAAGCUUGAUGCAACUGCCUGACAAGAAACACCUCCCUUCUUUUCUCCGAUGGCAUUCCCACACAUAAGGCACUCCCACACAUAAUCAGAAAUAACAACUCCCAUGCCCGACUACAUUUCAAAUGUUCUCGAGACAAUCCCGGACCCUGGAAUAACCUACAUGUUAGUCUACCGCGUUCACUUCUAUUGUUAUGCAUAGCUAGCUGGCUGAAUCAAAUGCUCAGGUGUUCUUCCCUAGGAAAAGCUCGGGAGAAUGAUCACUGCUGCUCUUCGAAGACACUAUAGCAUCUGCCCUCGAAUCCCUUAUCAUGCUCAAAACCUUUCUCAUUGUAGGUCUAGUUCUCUGGUGUAAUCGAAACACAAGCCAUUGCAAUAUUAAGAAGCGCCUGAAGUUUCUCCUCUGAUGCCUCAUCGCCAGAGCUGACAGGUUCUGUCUCCUCGCGAACUGAACGAACCCAUCUAGGAAUGUCUUGAGUCAUGUUCAAGUAGAGGCAAUAUUCAUGUACCCUUUCUUUUCCACACCAAGUUCAGUUUCUCGCUCCUUACUGCAUGCAAAUGAUGCAAUCCUCCUCCAUCAACCAUUUCAGCCCCUAACAUAUACAUUAAGAUUAAUAAUCCAACUCUCAACCAAUUUAGUGCCCCAAGUAGGAUCAAAGCAUGCUACCUUAAUCCAAAUUCCAAGUAAACCCUCCACAAAGUACUUCGGCUGUUCCUUCAUUGAAUUUGAAAGCUCUGAGUUCCUUAAUCAAAUAAAAUUCAUCGCAAAUCAGAAACGAGGUCUCAAUUUGGCCUUAACAAAAAGAAUUAGAUGGUCCACACGCCGCGGCGUUUGCCGGAGUUGAAAGUCUGAAUCAUGGUGUUUCGAGUAAACCAGAGCCGCUGACUUCACCAUGGUAGUUUAGAUGUGGCCGGAGAAGGUGAAUCGAUCCUUCCUUGCGGCGAAGGGGCGUACGUGGUCAUCCGGCAUCGGGGGUGGCUGAAGGCUUUGAGGAUCGCAUAUGGCUGCAUGUGAGGUUCAGAUUAGGUUUUGGUCGGUUUGGAAGUCUGUUUCAAUGCGAGGUGGCGGUGACAAGAGGUGGAGGCGGGGAGCUGCAGAACUUUAAAAACGCAUAAAAAAUAGCUUGGGUUGGGCUUGUUUUUUGGUAGGCCUAGCUAUUUAGGAUUUAAUUUUUUUUUUUUUUAGGUUUUCAAUCUGUUAGCGUGAAACUUGUGUAACCCCUCUGCGUAGAGUGGUUCAGGUUGCGCUUGGUUUUGUUCUUUUAAGUUUCAUCACAUGGUGAUUACAUUAAGUUAUUUUAAGGUAUCUCUACAUGGCUUAAUUCUCAUGUGACCUUUCUAGGGCAAGUUAUGUAUAUGUAAUCCCAUUAUUUACUGAAUACAAAGCCGUACGUUAUUUUUAGCUAUCUUGGGCCAACGACCCAUUAAGCUUAUAAUAGAUGGAUCCACAAUUGAAAUAACAAAGCAGCCCAAACCCGACUGCGAUCUGCGAUCUCCGUAUCUCAGUUUCUCACUAUCAGACUGAGAUAGUAUCAGUCUCUGCCAAAUGCGAGGUCUCCGCCGUCGCCCGUCGAUUGUCGUUGACCGUCGUCAUCGUCUCCCGUCCCUGCCGCUCGCCGAGAUGGAUGGGUGUCUGCUUGAGAUCGAGGUUGGCUUCGAAGGAGGAGAAGUUCUCAUACAGCGGCGAGGUCGGCUUCAAGGGAGGCAUGACAUAUCUUGCAGAGGAGAUCGCCGAUGUGUUGAGAUUGAGAUUUAAAAGUUGAAUUGAGAUUUUUAUUUUGAGAGGAACUACCGCAACCAAAACGAGCUCCCAGCAAGAUGAGAAAAAACUUACCUUCUCCUUUGAGAAUCUCGCUGCCUCUUCUCCCGGUAUGAAUUUUUUCGUUCAAUUUUUCUCGUAUGCUUUGGGAUUUUUCAACAGUUUGUUGCGAAUGUUUUUGAUAAAAAUAUGAUUAAGGAUUGUGAAAAAUAUCUGUUACUUUAUAAUCUCAGAUGUGAAAGUUGUUGUUGUUGCUCUUGUCAGGUACAAAGAAACUGUUGGGUUCCAGAUCUGGAAGAAGCGAUGGAAAAGGCUACACGGCAUCCGAUGGUUCUAGGUUUUUUUUUUUCCUCAUCUUAUGUUUUGAGAUUUUCUGCUUAAUUCGUUCCCGUUUAGUUUAUUAAGUUGUUCCCUAUGUUAGAAUAAUAUUAGUAAUAUCAUUGUUAUAUUGUAUCUGAUAGAGAUCUGAAAUUUGUUUCUCCCUGCCGUGUGGAUCAUAGUUGAAAACUCUGCUAUUGAAUCUAACUUUUGUUUUGGUUAGUAAAUUUGAGAUUGCUUUCUCUACUAUGUGCUUUAUUGCUUUUAUUACAAUCUGGUGUUUGUGUAAUUGGCUUUUACAAACCCCUAUGCGUGGAUUUGUUGCUGGAAUUUAUGUAAAUUUUGGUAAAGCUAGAUUCAAAAGUGAUAUCCCAGGACUUAUUUAAUUGGUAUAAUGUUGCAUAAAGUCAUACAAUCAUUUAAGAUUCUGAUUUUCUUAUCUUUUAUGGGUAUCUAACAACGGAACAUAAACAAACAGGCUCCUAUCCUCCCACCCCGUUCAGAUCGGGGUUCAUAGUGCCGAAUCCUGAGGUGCACUAUAAACAAACAGCUGCCUAUAUUCGAGUGGGGGAUGAAAGUUCCAAAGAGCUAGCCAAGUUUGAAGGACCCGGAGUACCUUAGUGUGCAUGAGAGCAACACUGAGGCUGAGCUUACUAAGUAUUUCAUGGGAUCAUGUCACGGGACCACAGUUUUUUGGAUACGCCGUUCGCCAACAGAGCUACUAGUUGGUGUUGAUUCACUAGAGAGUCAAACAUAUACAGGUACAUUCAAAUUGCUUUAUGUAUAUGUAUAUGUUUAAGUGAGACUUAAUAAUGUUCACGUAUUUAUGUUUGAUUUCUAGUGGUUAAUCCAAAACAUAAGAGAAAAAAUUAUGAGCUUUCAUGAUCAAAAGUUUAUAGAGAUUGUUCCAAAUGUUUAUGUCACUCUAUGUGGAGAUGCUAGAAGAUGAAGGACUAUGUCAAUGAACAAAUGAAAGAGCAUAACAAAAAAAGUCAAAUGUCAUUUACUGUUGCUCAAGUUGGCAGGGUUUCCAUUGAGUAUUUUUAUGAGUCUCCAUUGGAUCCUGUAAAGGAGCACAUUUCUUUAGUUCACUUAUGUUUUUGGAUUCCUGAUAAACAUGUAUGUGUUUUGAUAUAGAUUUUUGUUUGUGAAUUUAAUCUAUAACCAAUUUUUGAAAUAUCUCAUAGACAUAUAUUGAGUGUUAAACCUUGGGUGAAUAUAUGUCUAUGAGGUAUUUCAAAAUUGGUUAUAGAUUAAAAUUCACAAACAAAAAUCUAUAUCAAAACACAUACAUGUUUAUCAGGAAUCCAAAAACAUAAGUGAACUAAAGAAAUGUGCUCCUUUACAGGAUCCAAUAGAGACUCAUGAAAGUACUCAAUGGCAACCCUGCCAACUUGAGCAACAGUAAAUGGCAUUUGACUUUUUUUGUUAUGCUCUUUCAUUUGUUCAUUGACAUAGUCUUUUAUUUUCUAGCAUCUCCAUAGAGUGGCAUAAACAUUUGGAACGAUCUCUAUAAACUUCUGAUUAUGAAAGCUCAUAAUUUUUUCUCUUAUAUUUUGGAUCGACCAUUGGAAAUCAAACAUAAAUACGUGAAUAUUAUUAAGUCUCACCUAAACAUAUACAUAUACACAAAGCAAUUUGAAUGUACCUGUAUAUGUUUAACUCUUUAGUGAAUCAACACAAACUAGUAGCUUUGUUGGUGAACGGCGCAUCUAAAACACGGGUGGUCCCGUGACAUGAUCCCAUGAAAUACUUAGUAAGCUCAGCCUCAGUGUUGCUCUCAUGCACAAAGGUACUCCCGGGUCCUUCAAACUUGGCCAGCUCUUUGGAACUUCUAGAUCGCUGAUCACAAAACACAGGGAGACCAAUAAUUAGAUAAAAAAUAUGUAUAUUAUAUCACUGCUAAGAGUAGAGUCAUUAUUUCAUGGACGAAAAGACGCUGAUUUUCUGGAAGGUAAAAUGACAUACCCCUUGAGACAUUUCUCCUUACACAGAUUAAUAUACUCAUCUGUAUAUUUGUUUAAUAUAUUGUCCAUGCGAUCCAACACUGGGAUGUCCUCUAUAGGCAUUAUGUCCCAAAUCUUCAAUACUUGAAUGUAUCUUAAAUUCUUUGCUAUGUCUGUUGUGCAAACAAUAUAUAGGUCUUCAACCUUAAAUUUCUUCAGGUUCAGUGAAGAGUUACCACAAAGUAUAUCUGAACUUUGCAUCACUGGCAAGCUUUAGUAGAACAUUUAGCACUGACUGACUUCAGUUUCUUGAAUGACUUCAAAAAGUCAUCGCUAAAAAGUACCUGAAGAUUUAUUAUAGAGCAGAACAUCCAAUUUCAGAAACUUUUGAUAUAUGCAAUCAGGUUCUUAGAAAAUUAGGGUCGAUCAAGAAGUAACAAAAAUCAAUAUCUUCAAUUACCUUCCAUCUAGCUCUUCUUGAAAGUACACUGUCAGAAUUUAGCAAAUCAUCUAGUUGGUCGAACUGUUUCUUCAGUUGUAGUAUGGCCUUUUGGCUAAAUCCUCGUCUUCAUCAGCAUUAAAAAAGCAUUGGCGAUUUUUGGCAUCAAGAACCAAGGCCUCCCAAACAGACUCGCUGUCACAGAGUUUUUUCACUCCUCAAAAUCCACAGGCAGUGCCUGAAAACCUCAGAGAAUCAGUAGUUAUUUCCAUCAAGCUAUUACACCGGCUUAUGUAAAACAUACCUUGCCCUUUGUAAGAGCAACAUUAAUUAUCCGCGGUUUUGAAAUAUACUCAAGUGACUGUUGACAAUUGGAUCGUACAGUGGAAAAUAUAAUGAUGUCCUCUUCCCAACCCUGGAACCCGUCAACUGUCUUCACUUUCACUAUGAAUCCAUGAUCCAUCAAGAUUAUUAUAUUUCCGUCCAAGUUUGUCCUCGAUUGCCUCUACUUGAGCAGCAUAUGGAGAAAUUACACCAUUACUCUGAUUCUGUUUUGAAUCAACCCGUUCUGUUUACAAAGAGAAAACGGAAAGCGAUCAAUUGUCAUUAUGAGAAGAUAAAGGUGAUAGAAUUUCUACAGUUAUGUGCUCGUUUGAGAAAAUGAUUAGAGGAAUUAUACUGCCACAUGCUUAAUGGGUCAAAAUCUGCAUUUCUACUAAAGGAUUAUGAUAGAUAAAUAAAUAAACCAUAUACCAUGAUCAUGCAUCAGAAGAAGAAAAAGGAAAAAAAAAAAAAAACUAAUUCAGUCUUGUAAACUAUAUAUAUUGACCACCUAAAAUGGUACCAGUCCCACCAUAAACCAUCUGCAUUUCUAUUGCAAUGGCUUGUGUUUCGAUUACGAUUACACCAGAGAACAGACCUACAAUGAGAAAGGUUUUGAGCAUGAUAAGGGAUUCGAGGGCAGAUGCCAUAGUGUCUUCGAACAGCAGCAGUGAUCAUUCUCCGGGGAAAUGGUCAGAUACUGUUCAGAGCUUUUCCUAGGGAAGAACACCUGAGCAUUUGAUUCAGCCAGCUAGCUGUGCAUAACAAUAGAAGUGAACGCGGUAGACUAACAUGUAGGUUAUUCCAGGGUCCGGUAUUGUCUCGAGAACAUUUGAAAUGUAGUCGGGCAUGGGAGUGGUUAUUUCUGAUUAUGUGUGGGAGUGCCUUAUGUGUGGGAAUGCCAUCGGAGAAAAGAGGGAGGUGUUUCUUGUCAGGCAGUUGCAUCAAGCUUUGGUUGAAACCUAUCAUGCAAACUGGAGGAAGUUUUUGACUACAUUGGACCUAAUUGUUUCUCGUAUCUUAUUGAACACCUUCGGAUGUUGGUAUACUACUUCCAAGGUAAUGUUGUCACUACCAAAUCAAGUUUCAUUGAAUGGUUGAUGCAGAACAGAGGUAUUAACAAAUCCUUGAAUUUUGGGAUGUGAUUUGAUGUGCGAGGGAACAUAUAUAUCACCGAACAACUACCAACAGAUUAUAGUCCCAACUGAGGCUAAAAAAAAUAAAAAAAAACAAAACAAAACAAAUCCACAACAUCGAGCGGGGUUAGCAACUUAUAGCACCAAAGCAAUUCCAUAGAAAAACAAACAAACAAAUCCUACAGAAGAUAGUAAAUAGCAAAUUUCAGAUACUGUUAGAGGUGCCUUUAAUUACAGUGGCAUUAACCUUACAUUAACCAAAUCCUCUCUGGUGCAACCGGUCUAUUUUCCAGAAAAGCAAACAAAAACUAAUCGGAAGCUUAUUCCGUAAACACAGUAAACUUGCCAUCUUUCAUGCAUGUGUCCACAAACACAGGAGUUGAAACAGUUCCUCAUGGUGCUCUUAGAGAACAGACCACAUCAUAUGGAAUCAUGUUUGCCCUGACAAAGAUAAUGGGUCUCUAAUUGAUUUAGACUCGGCAGCAAGAACCUUGUCCUUGGGGCAUUCAUGGGUGCUGUGCUGUUUCCAGCUACUAUCACAAAUGGAACAAUACUUACGCUUCAGCAGUGCUCUUCUCCCAGUACAAUAGGUACAAACCCACUUUUCCUCAUUAAAUUCAUUACCACAGCAACAAAAUAUUUCAUAGUUGUCACGGUCAAAAGCUGCACCCUGUGGGAUAAGGCGAAAGUAAGGGCAAUAAAAGGUAUGGUGAAGAUACUGAUAACAAACUUCACAAGGCACGCUAGGGCAAUAAUUAGGGUAGUGACGGUCGUGACAAAUAUUACAAAGCACGUAAGGGCAAGAAGGACAAGGAGGGUGCUCCUUAGAACACUCAUUGCAAGGCACACAUGGUCUUUUGUGUUUAUAAGCACCUUCGCCCGACACUGGUCCUCUGAUCACAGACCCCAAGACAUCAGGAAUAUCGGUUGCUGUUUGUUUGCAGUUCAUCACCUUAGAACCCUCAUCCUCAUUAAUGCGAGACAAUGCGAACUGGGACAUGUCUCUGUAAAAAUCAUCUUCACCCCCCAUUGGAACAUAGGCGGCUUUUUGUUCGCGGUUCACCUUAGAAUCCUCAUUGUAAGGCCCCAUGAACUCUGACCUGAAUGGGACGGGGGUAUAGGAACCUGUUUGUUUCAGUUCCAUUGUUAGAUACCCAUAAAAGAUAAGAAAAUAAGAAUCUUAAAUGGUUGUAUAACUUUAUGCAACAAUAUAAGUACUGGUAUGUGUGUGUGUCCCUAUUAUAUAUCUGUCUUAUCAGUCAUGACUCAUGAGUACGUCUAGCUUUGCUAAACGUACAUUACAUAAAUUCCCGGAACAAAGUCGAGCAUAGGGGUUUGUAAAAGCCAAUUACACACGUACGUACACCAGGUUGUAAUAGGAGCCAGAAAGAACAUAGUAGAGAAAGCAAUCUCAACAUUAUAACUACUAUGAUCCACAUAUGCAGCAGGGAGAAACAAAUUAACAAGACAAAUUUCAGAUCUCUCUCAAAUACAAUAUAGCGGGAUAAAAUCACAGUUACUAAUAGUAUUCUAACACAAGGAACAACUUAACAAACUAAACGGGAACGACUUAAGCAGAAAAAACCUCAAAAGAUAAGAUAAGAAAAAAACCUGAACCAUCGGAUGCUGUGUAGCCUUUUCCAUCGCUGCAUUCAGAACUGGAACUGAACGGUUUCUUUGUAUCUGACAAGAUCUAAAUUCCGGAUUAGCAACAACAAUUUUCAGAUUGAAUUCGAAAGUAACACAUACUUUCACAAUCAUUAAUCAUAUUUUCAUCAAAAACCACGAAAUAGGGUUCCCUUGAGCAGAGACAGUUUUUAACAAACUGUUAUUUGAAAACAAACGGGUAAGAAGCAAACGAACCCUAAAAAAAGAAGAAGAUAGAGUAUAACUUGUUUCAGAUCACAGCAAAAUUAUACGAAAAGAGUUCAUACCAGGAGAAGAGGCGUCGAGAGUCUCAAAGGAGAGGGCUAACUUUUUUACAUCUCCCUGAGAGCUCGCGUCGGAUGCAGCCAUACUUUCUAGGGUUUCGAUUCAAUUAGAGCGCCAAAGAACAAUGCUAAUGCCUAAAGGGUUUCUUACGCCUUUUGUUUCCAAGAUCGCAGUGGGCCGGGUCAAGUCGCACGGUUUGGGCCGGGUUCUUCAAUUUCCGAAUACCAAUAUGUUCCCCCGCCCUGAAAUGUCCAAGUGUCUAACUGUUAUUGGCUCACAAGAUUUACACGCAUGGCAGAAAUCCACUGGGAUAAGGUAUAUAUAGACACACAUGACUUUGAGUUCUUCCUCUGUUCAUUCAAACCUUAUCUCUCCAAUGGCCAUCUCCAGUUCUUCUCCAAGUUCUGGAGACUGGUCAUCUUUGCCUUCUUUCAUAUCUUGCAGAAAAUCCCACAAAACACACAACCUCCAUUCCUUCUUUUCCAUUCCCAGAUGGACCAAUCUUCGAGCUAAUUUCCAAGUCAUCAACUCCUCUAGCUGCCCUUCUCCAAUUCUCGAAGAUCAAUCAUCGACCAACUUGUCACUCAUAGACCUGAAACUUCAACAACAUCAGACCCCGGAUGCCGGAAAGUUGAAUGAAUUCCUAUGUGAGCUGUUUCAAGAUCCAGAGAAGGAAGCAAUGGGGUAUGAACAGUAUGAGAAGGCCAAGAAGGUCGCAGAAUUCAGACCAAACAAGUCAACAUUGGAGCAUGUAACGAGGUAUUUGGUACGAUCCAAGAAAUGGGAUUCAAUUCUUUCGGUUUGUACUGAUUUCAAGACUUAUGAUUUGCUGCCUGAUAGAUAUACAUGUUCUAGAUUGGUUACUAGCUGCAUUAGAGCUAGGAAGUUCAAGGUUGUUAGGACUUUGCUUCAAGUGUUUAAGUCUGACGGCGAUGUUGCUCUGCCGGCCUUGGAUUCCGCAAUGAGAGGCUACAAUGAGCUUCAUAUGUAUAGAAGUACAAUGUCUGUGUUUGAAGAAAUGAUAUCUGCUGGAAUUGGACCGGAUUCCGGGUGUUAUUGUAGGAUAAUGGAAGCUUAUUUCAGAAAAGGUGACCAUAAAAAAGUUGUUGAGUUAUUUCAGGAUUUGAAAAGUAGGCAAUUAGAUUUGACACCAUUGUCAAUUCAGAUUCUAUGCCAAUCUUUAGCCAAAUUGGGGAAGCCUCUAGAAGCUCUAGAGAUUUUUCGAAGUGUGACAAAGGAAGGCGUUUCUUUAGACUCUUCAAAGAUAUAUUCUGUUUUGAUUAGUUCAUUUGCGAGCAUUCGAGAUGUGAAGGUGGCUGAAGAGCUAUUCAAAGAAGCAGAAACCAAGAAAAUGUUGAGGGAUCCGACGGUGUUUUUGAGACUGAUCACAAUGUAUGUUGAAGAAGGGUUGCUGGAUAUGACUCUUGAAGUAGUUAAGGCAAUGAAGGGUGCAAAUAUCAGAGUUUCGGAUAACAUAUGUUGCGCAGUUGUGAGUGGCUUCUCCCGGAAAAGCACGCUUCUGAAUGCAGUUAAAGUGUUUGAAGAUUUGAUCUUAAUGGGAUGUGAACCCGGGCAGGUAACAUACGCUUCAGUAAUCAAUGUGUAUUGUCGUCUUGGGCUUUAUUCUAAGGCUGAGAUGGUAUUUAGGGAGAUGGAAGAAAAAGGAUUUGAUAAAUGUGUGGUGGCGUAUUCAAGCAUGGUUGUUAUGUAUGGGAAGACAGGAAGGCCAAGAGAGGCAAUGAGGCUUGUCGCCAAGAUGAAAGAAAGAGGGUGUAAGCCAAAUGUGUGGAUCUACAAUUCUUUGAUGGAUAUGUAUGGAAGGGAUAAUAAUACGAGGCACGUUGCAAAGCUAUGGAGCGAAAUGAAGAGAAGGAAGGUUGCACCAGAUAAGGUGAGUUACACUACUGUUAUAGGUGCUUAUAACAAGGCAGGGGACUUUGAAAUGUGCCUGAGGUUUUACAAUGAGUAUAGGAUUCAUGGUGGUGUUUUGGAUAAGACCAUGGCUGCAAUGAUGGUUGGGGUUUUCUCCAAGAGUGGUCGAGUUGACGAGUUAGUGAAGCUUCUGCGAGAUAUGAAAGCAGAAGGAACAGGACUAGACGUGAGGCUUUAUCGGUCUGCCUUGAAUGCUUUGGCAGAUUCUGGUCUGGAAAUGCAGGUGAAAUGGUUGCAAAGUAGCUUUGAGGUGACAUAGAAAUAGAGGGCUUGAUUGUAUAGUGUACAAAAUCCCAGUGCUUGGCGAAGGCACUCGUUCAAGUAUGUUCUCUACUAUUAGAACCUCGGGAGUUCUUUGUAUUGGAAAUUGAAAUUGCAUAUAGAAAAAUUUGUUAUACUCCCAUCAUUUUCAUGUAGGUAACUGAUAUUUGAAUGUGGAAUAUACACUUAAAAGUACAAUUUUAUCGUCUUCAAUAACUUUAAAUUUCUUUAGAAGAUCCGGGAAGAACUUAUUUUCAUAUCCAUGGAAUUUAUUUUAUAAACUACAAACAUAUAAAGCACCGUAUAAGUUUUACAAUUGAAUGAAUCAAUGGAACAAGACAUUGCUCUUUUUCGUUGCUUUGCUGCUGACACUCUGGCGUAUGAAGGCUCAGAUUUCAGUUGAGAGCACUACAAAUCCUUCUUAUCUGCCCAUUUGAGCCAGUGAGAGGGUUAAUGUCUCCCAUCUUGAUCAUGGCAGCCGCAAAAUCAGCCUUGAAGUUUGCAGGUUUGGAGCUAUACUCCGAGACAAUGCUGUCUGUGGAUCCUCCACUAAAGAGAACUUGAUCGGAUGCAAGAAGACCCUUCUUCUGGAUCAAGUUCUUGAAGUAGUUGUUGUCCAGUUGAUUUGGUGUCACCAAAUCAAGUGCUGCCAAAUUUGCAUCACCAUCAUUAGCUGCUGCGGGACAAGUACGUCCGCGAGUACGAGCAAAGUUAGCAUCAAUGUCACUGGUGUUGCUGUAGAUUCUUCCGCGGAAUGUGAAGCACUGAGCUUGUCCGAUGGAAUGUGCACCUGAGAGCGCAACCAAGUCUCUGGCAUUGAGGCCUAAACCAGCAAACCUGUUAGUAAGGCUUUCAAGGCUGUCUAAGAAACUGGGAAGCGAGCUUCCAGCUAGGCUUUUGCUUGCUGUGGUCGAAUCCCUUCUUCCAAGCUUCACCGACCAGUCUGGACCUCCAACCUAUAUGUAUACAUAUUAUCAGUUCCAACAAGUAGAACAAGGGAAGCUAGAAGUUGGUGAACAAAAAAAUGAAUGAAUCAAGUACUCACAGCAACUGAAGCAUCCCUAGCAGCCACAGCGACGAUAUCUGCACAAGAAACUACACCAGGACAUAGUUUCUCCACUUCAGAUUUGGCAUUAUCUAUGACUCCAUAUCCUCUCACAGAGUUCAGAUUAGGCGGUGCGGUCUUUUCGCCUGUGAUGGAAGAAGUAUCGUCAAGUAAGAUUGACGCAUCACAACCCUGAAAACACAUGAGUACUGCACCGUAAGUUAUAGCUCAAAACGAAAGGCAUCAUUUAGUUGGUUAUAUUUAUAGGUUAAUUAGUACCUGAACAAAGCAGUCAUGGAAAUGCAGGCGGAUUAGGGAGGCUGCCAUCCGACGUUCAGCUGAGACUGCUGAUCGUAUGGAUUUUCUGAUCGUAGCGAGAGCGUUUGGACAUGCGUUGUCAUAAAAUGUUGAGGAGGAGAGCUGAGCUGAGCUUGUUGUGCUCAUCAGGGCAAGCAACAGCAGCAGUGCAAUAGAGGCAACAUUUACAUUUGAACUAAAAGACUUCAUCAUUGAACUUGAAAGUAAAAACUCCCCUACUCAAUACCAAAACCAAUUUACGUUUUGGAUGUGUAAAAACUUGUACUCGAAGCAACUAAUUUAAAACCCUAUGAAUUGCGAAUGAAGUUGAGGAAAUGAGAAGGAUUGAAGGUGAUGAAGAUUAAGGUUAUAUCUCGCAUGUAUUUAUAGGGCAAUUUUGAGUAAAGUAGACCUUAAGGUUUGCCCUGGUCACUAUUUACUGCUAACGCGUGCCCCUUUCAACAAUACCACUGUUCAAUUCUGAAAAUGACCCAUUCUGAUUUGGUAGGCAAAAAAGUCACCGUUUUUUACAUGCGUUAUCCUUUGACAAAUCUUAUCUGGAUCAAGUAAUAUGCUCUCAAACUGAUUAUGAAAGGUAAUCAUAUGCAAAUAAUAGAACUAGACCUCGCUAGUCAUUGUCUUACUGUAAUCAAAGUCUCUAAUUGUGAUUAAAGGUCAUAUAAACAGCUAAUCUGUUAUGCAUGCAUUUCUUUUCUUUUUUUUGGUCGUGUUAUGCAUGCAUUUGGGUAUCAUAUAUGUAAAGUCAGAAUAAAGAUUCUUGGCCUAUAUGGGUUGAACAUAGCAGGCCAUGCUUUGUUCUUGUUCAUAGUAUUUUUCACCAGUAUAAUAAUCCGAAAACGAAGAAUUAAACCACAAAAGGCCAGAGCUAGCGCAUAAUUCAACUCAUACAUAUUUGAAUCCCUCAACUCAUUUGACUAAUGCUCAAGCAUCCACCAAACUCAGCUUUAGCUGUAACUCAUAAUCUUGCUUAGAAGCUCUGAAGAUGUCAACAUGUUCUGCAAUCAUAUUUUACUAGUUCUUCUUAUUAUGUAUAUUAGCUGACUUUCUGAAAGUUACACAAAUGAUGACUUGGUACUUGCAUAGAAUUGUCUCUUCAAUACUCGUUCGCAUCACCAAAGCUAUAGUAAUCGGAGAAAUAAAUGCGGAACAGAAAUAGUCGUAGAGCAAUUACAACUCGAAUCGAAACAUAGCCAAUACUGAAGGUGAGCAAUUUCAUUCUUUCUUCACAUCAACACCAUCCACCGGCGGCAAUGACUGUACACACAAAGCAAACACAGAACCCAUCAUUUUUUUUAUACGAACCAAUUUCAUCAAACAUUUUUGUAAAGUCGAGUGAGGCAUUUCGUCGAACAGGUUACGUGCACUAAUUCAUAAUGAAAUUUUUUUGGAAGUAGAGGUAGUGAGAAAGAGAAGAGAGAUAGUAAGUGAGAUUACGAGAUCGGGUUUGUAGAGAUUGUGGACGACGGAGGCUCCGGCGAGAAGCGAAGCGACGACGACGACGCUGGACCAAGCCAGCGAGGGAGUGCCGGUCGGCAGUUUCCCUCCCCCGAACUUCUUAUUCAUAGGUGAAAUUUGAAAAGAGCUCAGUGACGUGCAACUAGAUAGUUUUCUUCGCCGGAACUUUGGUCGGAAAGAGUUGGUAUUCGCCGGACUGUUUUCUUUUCUGGUUAGACGAAGUGGUUAUUACAGUAUUACUUAUUGGGGAAGGCGACUUCAACGACGUCCUUUCGGGUCGAAUGUUGUUAAUGGGUUUCAAAGGGGAUCCGCCCGCCAGGGCAAAGUUAUCUUUGUUCUUGGGCUUGAUCUAAAAAUUAGUUUCAAGAAUCCUAUUAUGAUGCGAAAAUUUUACGACUUGAAAUGCAAGAAACAUAAGCGUUUAAGCUAACAAUGUAUUGCCUCGUAGUUUAAUAUAUUUGAUGUGAUUUAUAUGCUAAUUUUGUUGUAUACGGGACUCUUACUAUGAUUUGAAACACGUUUAGUAUCCAUAUUCGUGAUUAUUUGUUUAGAUGAAAUUGUUUUGGCCACGAUCCUCAGCGGGGAUACAGAGAUAACUUAGUAGUACCAAAAGUAAACAACGGGCGCAGGGUGUGCCACCGCGCGGACGCGGAAUGAGAACAGCGUGUGCUUGGCUUCUAAUCAAGCGAAAAUAGGGCUCCGGUGCCACCUCGCAGACGAGAGAUUACGAGUAAGCCUUUAUUCACCUGUGAAUCGAUACUCACUGUUAGAGCGAGCAGAGCAACUAAUCAAGAAGAAAAUGCGAGUCUGAACGGGCUCUGUAAACCAGAGCUAGAGAUGCUUUAGCACUUAGGGUUUUGAGGAGGCUCGAAGAUUUGUUUGUAGUUUAUAUGAUUUGAUUGUGUGUGUUGAAUAACCCUCGAGCCCCCUUUAUAUAGUGACUCGCGACUAGCUGAUAGAGAUGCAAUCACAAACCAAUUUAGACUCAACAAUUAGAAUGCCACAAGAACACGCCUUACUCGCGAAUUGCCUUAUCCAGACGACACGUGUCCAGUCGCACAACAGACUCCGCCUAGAUCACAAGCACUGCCUUCACGCUAUCCAACUGUAGUCCCCCAUGCGAACUCAAAUAAUGAGCAACCUUAUCUCGCGAGGUGCCACAAUCCUUGUCAAAAUCUAUCUCGCGCGCCUCCGAAGCUCGCGACUCUUAACGGCCUUUAUAUUAAAAAAAUAUCCCAGGUAUUGGCUCAAAUACUAUCCAAAAACUAUUACGUGGUCUUGGACCAAAAUAUCCACUCGGCUCAAACAGAAAUUUCUAAAUCAAAUGGUAUCUAAGAUGAGAAAGCUGCAAUAUAAAUGUACGGCAUUAUAAUCAUAUACAAAUCCAAGUUACAUAUAUCCAGAUGAUCUCCAAAUUGGAUGAAACUUUACAGGAAUGAUCUACACACUAUAUUCUAGACACAGAACAGUGGAGAUAUGAAAAUGUGACUUAAAAAUGAGCGAAAUGAGAAACACCACACUUUAAUUUUAAAAUUGUGUCCCUCUCGGGAAGAAAACUGUAUAGAUCAAUAAAUCAUCAUACUUAAAACACGACAUCACCUUCAUAUAUAUUCGAACAUUUGCCAAGUUUGAUUAAUCCGAUCCCUUGUAUAGAGGUGUACGUACGUGCUUAAAGCUAGCUGGGUAUAGUCAUGACAGGUCACAAGUACAUACUGUGGUGAGUCACUUUCCCGAGUUUGCUCAACCAUGGAAUGAGCAGCAGCAUGGGUUUCUCAGUCUCACACACAUGGGAUAUCUGCAUUUUACAGGUACUCUCUACUCACAUUUAUGAAGGAUCGAUAGAAUUCGAGAUGACAAUACUUUAAUAUCCAAGAAAGUGACAAGACUUGUACCUUGCCGAGAACAUGAUUAUAAACAACUAAUGAGAACAUGAUGAUGAACUUAAAGCAUUACAGAAUCGUGUGGGAAAGAGUUGGAAUUGUCGGCCGGAUUGUUUUCUCUGGUCUCCGGCAAAGACGAAGUGUUAUUGGGGAAGUUGAUUUGUGUUCUUAAUGGGUUUCAUAUUUGGAAUCAAGCCCGCCUAGGGAAAUCUAUCUUCCUUUGUUAUGGUGCUUGAUCAGGAUUUCUUUACAGUGCAUCUGGUUAUGAUUUGAAAGCACAUAGAGCAUCAUUACUGGUAAUUAUUUCUUCAGAUUGCUAAAGGAAGGAUGCAUACUCAAAACGCCUGCUAAAAAGAAAGAACCGAAGUGCGGCAUUACAAUCCUACACAAAUCCAAGCUACAUAGAUCACCCAACCUUAAAACACAGCAAGUAGACACAAACAUCAUUUAUUCUAAACACGUAGGUACGCUACAAUUAUAUGCAUCCUUCUUGCAUUGCUAAUUACUCAUUAACAGUGUUUGGUGCAGAAGCAUCUGCGGCGAAGACCGCGGCAGUCGCCUCCACUGAAGCCCUCAGUUUUGCAAACAGAUGCACAGUUGGUCUCACUCAAGCAAGUUCCCUUGAACUUGUGGCUCAGACUCUCACAAGUUCUUGCUUCUGCGACCAUUGUAUUUGGCCCCAUUCCUACAUACAGUUUAAACACACACAUUAGUAUUCAUACAUAAAGUUCAUUUACAUCUAGAGAUCAAAACAGUCAGUAAAUAUCAGAAGAAUGUAGAUAUUGAUUAUACCAGUAGCCACCAGAAGCAGAAGAGCGACGAAGACAGCCGAAAACAUACGCAUGAAACUCUCCAUUAUCUUCUUGUUCUUAAUAGCUCUUAACUGUGUAUAGGUGUGUUGAGGAUGAGAUGAGAUUACAAUGCAAGCUUACUAGCCUUUAUAUAGAAGCUGUCCACUAAUUAAGCUAGCUGAGUCAUCCGAAAGAUCGAGAAAGCCAUAAUGGUAAAAAGGAGGGAGGAGCUGGGGACGAGUCAUGAAUGGCGAGUAGGGUAUGGUCUGCACUAACAUCACUGCUUUUUCUGCUUUUUUUGAUUCUAGCGAACCACACGUUUGUGAAUUGUGUCAAUUCAAGCUCCAUUGAGUUGGCAAACCUGCAAUGAAUUACUGAAUACUGACUCAUUCUGCAAAGUUAGCUCAAUCAUGCAUGAAUGGGUAACAUGGUCUUCUCAAACUAGCUAGGGAUAUCACCGUCAACCAAUGUUGUACAUAUGUGAAGGAUAGAAUUCCAGAUAACAAUAGUUUAUGGUAAAGAAAGUCAUGAACUCAUGAUACACGUAGCUAAUGAUAAUGAAAUAUGUUUAGAAACCUAAAGGUGUACUCAACUACAUAAUAAGAACAGGGUAGAGGCUGCUUAUAGCAUUACAGAAUCAUAGGUGGUGCAGAAAAUGGAAAAGGAAUUUAGCCCAACAAUGGAAAUCUACCUUUUAGAAAAGAAAGAUAACACAGAUAUUGAAAGUGAGGAUCAUGAAUUUGACUUGUGUCUACCGACAUUGAAGAUUUUAACCUUACACGUACAGUAGCCAUAGUCACCCUAUUUCUUUCUGAAAGCAAAGCAUCUUAGCCAAAUACAACUUUCCUAUUUUUCUCUUUUCUUUGUUACAAAAUUUCUACCAUUCUAAUGGAUAUAAUAUACUGUUUAUUAUCAGCAAAGAACUGAUGGAAAACUGAGAAGUAAGAACCAACCCAAAAUUAAUCUUGACAACAAGACUACAAGAGAAGAAAUAGAACAAUUAAAUUUCUGAUAUAUAAUAGCUAGUAUGCUUCUACAUCAGAGAAAACCAAACAUAUGAAGAGAAAUAUAAUUUUCUUGAUUGAAGUAGAUGAUUGAUGACAAAGGAGAAUACAUGUUUAAACUACUACAGUACUACAAUCAGAGAUGCUAGCUAGCUAGACUAGGAUUUUGUCUUCAUCUAUUUGCUCUAGGUUUGUCUUGGCUUGUAGCAUAAGGAUGGACCUUGUGAGCAGAGCACGGUGGCAUUUGCAUGCAUACUAUUGUGUUUCAGAUAUGGACUGCUAUUUUUUUUUUUUUUUCCGAUUAAUGGUAUGCUGCUGGUGUAUUGCAAUCCUAUAUGCUUAUCAGUAAUAUAUAUAGUCGAAAAAGAUUCUAUAUAAAACAUGCAUACAAGGUAAACUAAAGGCUUAUUUGGUACAUUUUUCCCUAUCAGCUUGGGUUCCCCCAAACUUCUUCCUUAGAGAUUCUACUUCUUCAUCUUUCAACGUCGUAAAUAAUGUUUUGGGUUCCCCAAUCUUGUGACCAUCAGCUACAAUCUCCCAAGGCCGUUUUGAUUUAUUGACAUCACAAAGGGAUUUGAUUGACUCAUGAGGCAAGUUCAGCUGCUCAAGUACCCUAGCAGAAAUGGAAGGCAUGUACGGUUCCAAUAAGAAAUCAAGAAGAUGCACUAACCCUACUGAAGUUUUGAUGACAAUAGAGCACCGAGGCCGGUCCUCCUUGUAGAGCUUCCAGAACUGGGAUCCUUGGAGAUAUGCAUUCCCCUCGCUAGAAAUACUCAUUGCUAAUUUAAGCCCUUGCUUUAGUUUGAGCUUCUCCAUUGCUUCCAUGUAUUGCUCUACAUGUCUGCCGACUUUUUCUGCUAACUCAACUGUCAAAGCAUCAGAGUCUGCACCUGCAGCCUCAGGAAUUAUGCCACCAUAUCCUCCUGAAGGUUUAGCAAUGAAACUCAAAACUCUGUUGAUGAAGUCGCCUAAAUUACCAACCAACUCACUUUUGAGUUUUGUUUGUAAAUCGGACCAAGCAAACUCAGUGUCGGAUCCCUCAGGCCUAUUAGUCAGCAAGUAAUAGAGCCACACUUCAACUGGAAUGCCUGUGAGUUUUGCAUCGUUUCCGAAAACUCCAAUGCCUCUACUCUUAGAAAACUUGCCUUUUUCAUAGUUUAAGUACUCAGUUACACUGAUAUUGUUCAUGAGUGUCCAAUUUUCUCCGGUUCCAAGAAGCGCUGAGGGGAACAUGAUUGUGUGAAAUGGCACAUUGUCCUUCCCCAUGAACUGACACAAUUCGACAUUCUCGGGAUUCUUCCACCACUUCUCAUACUGAUCAGGAGUGUAGCACUUAGUAAUGGAGAUGUAUCCAAUAGGUGCAUCGAACCACACGUAAAAUACCUUGUCUCUGAAGCCAUCGUGUGGAACUGGAACACCCCACUUGAGAUCCCUUGUAAUGCAACGUUGUUUAAGCCCCUCGUUGAGCCAUGCUUUUGUGAUAUGAACCGCAUUCUGGCUCCAACACCCUUUCUCUGAUGCUACAUUGAUGUACUCUUUCAACCUAUCCUUGAGCAAAGGGAGGUCCAGAAACAAGUGACUUGUUUCGCAAAUCCGCGGAGCUUCCUUGCAAACCUUGCAUUUAGGAUCUUCUAAUUCGAUCGGAUUCAAGAGCUAUCCACACUUGUCACACUGGUCUCCUGGGGCAGAAUCAUAGUGACAUCUAGGACAUGUCCCCUCCACGAACCGGUCCGCUAAGAACCUGUUACACUUGUCACAAUGGAGCUGCUGGAUUGAGUUUUCGGCAAGGCAGUCAUUGUGCAACAGUUUCUUGAAAAUGUCUUGGCAGACCUCAGUUUGCUGUGGCGUGGAAGUUCGUCCGAAAUGGUCAAAGCUUAUGUUAAACCACUCAUACACCUCCCUAUGGAUUUUGUGGUACUUGUCACAUAUCUGUUGGGGGCUGCACUUCUCUUCCAAGGCUUUGGUCUCCGUAGCCGUGCCGUACUCGUCGGUACCGGAGAUAUAGAGGGUAUUGUAUCCCCGGAGACGGCAGUACCGAGCAAAGACAUCGGCGCGCUCAAGAUGCAGCCGAUGAUGUUGCCGAGGUGGGGGACGUUGUUAACAUAUGGCAAGGCACUGGUGAUGAGGACGUUUCGCUCUCCUGGUAUUGGGAGCUUGGGGACUUUCUGGUCCUGCUUGGUUAGAUUUUCCAUUGUCAACUUUUAUAGCCAUUAAGUUGACCAAUUUACCCUUAAUUUCUCUUUUUUUUUUAGUUUUUUUAUAUUUGUUUUCAUAUUCCAAAAAUAUUAGAAGAGGUUUUAGAAUUUGAUAAUUCGGGUUGAUCUUUGUAAACUUGAAGAAGAUUGAAGAGAAACAUCCAGAAGUUUAAUCUUUGUUGUUUAUGCUGACACUCAAUCUUUGUUGAUCUUUAUAAACUUGAAGAGAAACAUACAAAAGUUCAAUAUUUGUUGUUUAUGCUGACACUCAAGGAUCUUGUUGUUGCCGUUGACAAUGAAGGAUAAUUGAGAUGAAAAAUUGAUUAUUAACAAGGAGAAAGUGACGAUGAAUUUUUUUUCUACGUUCCUAAAAAUAUAAAAAAACCAAAAAAGAAAAUUGGAAUAUGAAAACAAAGAAAAGAAUUUAAGGGUAUAUUGGUCAUCUUUUUUUGGUUUGAGGGUAAAUUAGUCAUCUUAAUAGCUAUAUAUACUAAUCUUAGGUCGGGAUGGAAACAUGAAAUACCAAUCUAAUAUUUUUAAAACUUGGUAUACCAAAGUUUAUAAGGAGCAAAAGUUUGUAUAUCAUUCAGACGAAUUUCUCUUACAGAAAUGAUCUAUACACUAUAUUCUAGAUACAGAACGGUGGAGAUGUGAAAAUGUUAUCUAAAAGUGAGCGAAAUGAGAAGCACUACAUUUUAAUUUGAAAGUGGUAUCUCUCUCUGGAAGAAAACUGUAUAGAUCAAUAAAUCAUCAUACUAAAAACACAACAUCACCUUCAUAUUCGAAUAUUUGCCAAGUUUGGUUAAUCCGAUCCCUCGUAUAUAGGUGUAUGUACGUGCUUAAAGCUAGCUGGGUAUAGUCAUAACAGGUCACAAGUACAUACUGUGGUGAGUCACUUUCCCGAGUUUGCUCAAUCAUGGAAUGAGCAGCAGCAUGGGCUCCUCAGUCUCACACACAUGGGAUAUCUACAUUUUACAGGUACCUCUCUACUCACAUUUAUGAAGGAUCCAUAGAAUUCGAGAUGACAAUACUUUAAUAUCCAAGAAAGUGACAAGACUUGUACCUAGCCGAGAACAUGGUUAUAAACCUAAAUGUACUCAAACACCUAAUGAGAACAUGAUUAUGAACUUAAAGCAUUACAGAAUCGUAUGGGAAAGAGUUGGAAUUGUCGGCCGGAUUGUUUUCUCUGGUCUCCGGCAAAGACGAAGUGUUAUUGGGGAAGUUGAUUUGUGUUCUUAAUGGGUUUCAUAUUUGGAAUCAAGCCCGCGUAGGGAAAUCUAUCCUCCUUUGUUAUGGUGCUUGAUCAGGAUUUCUCUUACAAUUUUUUUACAGUGCAUCUGGUUAUGAUCUGAAAGCACAUAGAGCAUCAUUGCUGGUAAUUACUUCUUCAGAUUGCUAAAGGAAGGAUGCAUACUCAAAACGUCUGCUAAAAAGAAAGAACCAAAGUGCGGCAUUACAAUCCUACACAAAUCCAAGCUACAUAGAUCACCCAAACUUAAAACACAGCAAGUAGACACAAAAAUCAUUUAUUCUAAACACGUAGGUACGCUACAAUUAUAUGCAUCCUUCUUGCACUGCUAAUUACUCAUUAACAGUGUUUGGUGCAGAAGCAUCUGCGGCGAAGACCGCGGCAGUCGCCUCCGGUGAAGCCCUCAGUUUGGCAAACAGAUGCACAGUUGCUUUCUCUCAAGCAAGUUCCCUUGAACUUGUGGCUCAAAGUCUCACAAGUUCUUGCUUCUGCAACCAUUGCAUUUGGCCCCAUUCCUACAUACAUUUUAAACACACACAUUAGUAUUCAUACAUAAAGUUCAUUUACAUCUAGAGAUCAAAACAUACAGUGAGUAAAUAUCAGAAGAAUGUAGAUAUUGAUUAUACCAG